AUUUUUCUAGGUGCUCUCUCGUUUUUACUUACUUGUCAUUUGCCCAAGUUCUUCUCUUAUCCUAGGCCGCGUUGUGACAUUUGCAGCGGUACUACCGCCAGGGGUAGCGGUACUGCCGCCAGGACCCCAGCGGUACUACCGCCAGGGGUAGCGGUACUACCGCCAGGACCCCAGCGGUACUACCGCUAGGUAUGGCGGUACUACCGCCAGGAUUCCCAUCUAACACGACCGGCUAGGAAAUUUUUAGGGUUGUCUCACGGGGGAGCGGUACUGCCGCCAGGGGGAGUAGUACUACCGCUGCAUCCAGCGGUACUACCGCCAGGCAGCGGUACUACCGCUAGGUCCUCAACGGUACUACCGCUGGCCCGUACCCCUUGGGCUAUAUAAAGGAGGGGGAGCCCGUUUUUCUCAGCCACUUUCUUCUUUCUCGCGGCUCCUCCCUCCCCUAGCCCGAAAUCCCCCUGGUUUGAUCUCGUUUCGUGGAGCUCCUUCUCUCCGUUGGAUUGGAAGGGUUGCUCCACCUCUCCUUCCUCCUCCAAGGGCCAUGAAUCCCGGUAAAGCUCCUCCCCUUCUUCUAUUUGGUUGAUGUUCUUGUUCUAGGGUUAGGAGCAUUGGGGGAUUGGAUCCAUGUCUUUGAUCUUGUGCCUUGUUCUUGGAUGGCAUGAAGGAGAUAUUUGAGGGGAGUGUAGGUUCUAUGAAUCGUUGCUGAUUAUUUUUGCCAUGCCCUAGGAUUUACUUGUUUUAGAUCUAGCACUUGAACUAUGUUUGGAUUAGAUCUAAAACUUGCUCUCUCUUGCCUAGGCAUGUACUUAUUUCGGUGAUACCUGUGAUCCUCGUGUGAGUAGGGCUGGGGUGGAGUUCUUAGUGUUCAUAUACAGCCCAUGCCCCUCGUAAAAAUCGUGUAGCCCUAUGCAUGAGGUCUAUUUUUAUCUGUCAGAUCUGAAAGUCAAACCCCAACGGUACUACCGCUAGGACCCCCAGCGGUACUACCGCCAGGGGUAGCGGUACUACCGCUAGGACCCCUAGCGGUACUACCGCCAGGGGUAGCGGUACUACCGCUAGGCCCCAGCGGUACUACCGCCAGGGGUAGCGGUACUACCGCCAGGAGGAUUCAAUGUGCAUUCUUUUCAUGUGCUUGGCAAUGAGUGUUUAUUUUUCUGCUUUUUCUAGUUCAUUGCCUUGACUCUUUUUGUCGCUUCUUUUCACUGUGUGUUGUGUCACAGGUAGUUCUCGCCGUUCGAACCCCCCAUGGGAGACGCAGUCAAAGCAGUAUCGCAACCAAGAGGCUCCCGAAGGGUCUGCCACCUCAGGUCUGCAACCCAAAAAGUAGUCCUUCAAGAAGUCCGCGCACAAGGAUAAGGGGAUCAAUGUCCGAACAAUGCCCCCCAAGGACUUUCUGCAGUUUCGCACUCAGAACCAUUAUCUCAAAGAGAGGGCUGUGAUCAAGAAUGUUGACCAUGUUUGGGCAAAGGAUCAGUGCAGGAUCUACCGUGAUAUUGUCGCGCAGUUCAAAAAGAACUAUGUCCCCGUUCGGUGGAUUGACCUAGCUCAUCUUCAGCGGCACCUGGACUAUUUUGGUGAUGCCCUCUCUCUGAUUGACAAACUGGGCAUCAAGGACAUCAUCACCUUCAAGACAGAUUUUGACCCCACUGUUGUUGCUCAGUUCUAUGUCACGGUCCACUUCUCUCCUGAUGAAGAGCGCUCUAUGGUGUGGAUGACAGGGACUCAGAAGAUGACCGGUACCUGGCGUGAGUUCAUGCAAUUCCUCAAGGUUGACUUCCAGGGAGCUGACACUCCACUUGGGUUGCAUCCUCAUGCUGCAGCCCCCACCGAUAGGCCCCCCGCAAAGGACAGAUUGCAGAAACUCUAUGUGAGGAAGGGUGUGCUCCCCAAACAUCUGGACAUCAUGCAUAGGAUCCUUCGCAACACCCUCUUCCCUCGCAUUGGUAAAUUUGAUGAGGUUCAUGGCUCUUUGGUUGAGAUGUUGUUGCUUUGUGAGGAGACUAUGACUGUGGAGUCUGCCCCUCUUGAUAUCUCUGAUGUGAUGUUCACGGAGCUCUGGAACUGCAUCAUCAUGCGUAAGGUUCCCAUCUACGGGCCCUAUCUGUUUGCUUAUAUUUGUCAGAAGUGGCAAGAAACUUUUCUAGGGGAGGUGCUCUUCGCUCAGUCUGACUACAUUCGGCACGACCCGAUCAAGCUUCGCGUCAAGGAGAAAUGGGCCAACCCAUCAACUUCCUCUCAGCACAUGGAUACUGACACACAGACUGCUGCUGACAGAGGAACCGCCUCUCAAUCCCGCUCUUCUGCCAUGCCAUCUUGGGCCAUCAAACUGCACGAUAAGAUGAAGACUCUAUUCUGUAUGCAGGCUAAGGGUCAGUACCAGACGCACGUGGCUCAAAAGGAGAGCCGCCAAAGGCACAAGCGCGUUUUCAGGACUCUUGAUGUGGACAUCUCCAGCGGAUCAGAGGACGACAUCACUCCAGAGGCUACUUGGAUGCAGGAUCAAGGUUACCAGUGGUCUGGCGAUGAGGAGGACGAGGAGGAGCAGGAUGAUCAGGAGGGUACCGACGAGUCUGGCGAUGCUGAGGAUGAGGAGUAACUACCUGUGGCGUUAGGUGUGCCCCUUUUUGGUGUCUUGUGCCAAAGGGGGAGGGAGUCUAGGAGCUGGAUUUGCUUUCAUAGUCGAACUUUGCUUUGCUUUGCAUUCUUUCGUGGUUUGCUUCGAACUUGAUUUGCUUCUAGUUUGCUAUCGUUUGUGAGACAUGAAUUUAUGUGAGAUUUAUUUCCAUCAUAUGCUGUGAGUCAUAUGCCCCGUAUUUUCAUAUAUCUCUAUCUUUUUGUUCUCAUAUUAUUCUCUGUGCAAAUACGGUAUUGUCAUCAAUCCACCAAAAAGGGGGAGAUUGUUGGGGCAUAGUUUAUGCCUAAGUUAUUUUGGUGAUUGAUGACAGUACCGUAAAGGACUAACCGUGUGUGUUAAGGUUUCAGAUAACACACGUCAAUGGCACAAGACGACUCGUCUCCUCAUUCAUGGAACGGAAGCACGACGCUCUCUACGAUUCUCUUUAUUUGAGUCAUAGGAAAGCCGUACUAUUAAGAGGGGAUCCGUAGUGGAAAGGUUUGGGUGGAAUCUAUCUUUGCACGCGCACACUUCACAUAUUCUCCCUUACCUUCAUCUUUGGAGCGGCCCCCGCCACUGUGUUUCUUUCCUCCUUGCAAAUUGGUCCCCAGCGGUAGUACCGCUGGAAUGCUAGCGGUAGUACCGCUGGCUGGCGGUAGUACCGCUGGAGUUCCAGCGGUAGUACCGCUGCAUCCAGCGGUAGUACCGCCCCUGGUCAGUGGUAGUACCGCUGCAGCGAGCGGUACUACCGCUGGAGCUCGGGCAGAGAGUGGGAAAACGGUCUGAUUUCCCCCCCACUAUAUAAAGGGUUCUUCUAGCUGUGGAACCCUAUCUCUUACCUCUCUAAGCUCCAUUGUUGCGCCCCAAGCUCAAAAGUGCCCGAUCUCUCUCCCUAGCCAAUCAAACUUGUUGAUUCUUUAGGGAUUGGUUGAGAAGGCCUAGAUCCACACUUCCACCAAGAGAAAAGUUGAUUCCCCCACCAAUCCCUUGCGGAUCUUGUUACUCUUGGGUGUUUGAGCAUCCUAGGCGGUUGAGGUCACCUCGAAGCCAUAUUCCAUUGUGGUGAAGCUUCGUGGUUUAGUUGGGAGCCUCCAAGCUUUGUGUGGAGUUGCCCCAACCUUGUUUGUAAAGGUUCGGUCGCCGCCUUCAAGGGCACCUAUAGUGGAAUCACGGUACCUUGCAUCGUGCGAGGGCGUGAGGAGAAUACGGUGGCCUUAGUGGCUUUUUGGGGAGCAUUGUGCCUCCACACCGCUCCAAAGGAGACGUACUUCUUGUCAAAGGGAAGGAACUUCGGUAACACAUCCUCGUCUCCAUCGGUUCCACUUGUGGUUAUCUCUAUCCUUUACUUUGUAUUUGCUUAGGCUUGUGACUAUAUCUUACUUGUCUUAAUAGCUCUCGGUGUUAGCUUCUUUAGGGUUCACCUCAUUGUCGUAUUAUUUGUGAACCCGUAUGUUGUUUACCUUAACUUGCUAAGAUUAAUUAAAAAGUGGUCGUUGUCUAUUNGGUUUGGGUGGAAUCUAUCUUUGCACGCGCACACUUCACAUAUUCUCCCUUACCUUCAUCUUUGGAGCGGCCCCCGCCACUGUGUUUCUUUCCUCCUUGCAAAUUGGUCCCCAGCGGUAGUACCGCUGGAAUGCUAGCGGUAGUACCGCUGGCUGGCGGUAGUACCGCUGGAGUUCCAGCGGUAGUACCGCUGCAUCCAGCGGUAGUACCGCCCCUGGUCAGUGGUAGUACCGCUGCAGCGAGCGGUACUACCGCUGGAGCUCGGGCAGAGAGUGGGAAAACGGUCUGAUUUCCCCCCCACUAUAUAAAGGGUUCUUCUAGCUGUGGAACCCUAUCUCUUACCUCUCUAAGCUCCAUUGUUGCGCCCCAAGCUCAAAAGUGCCCGAUCUCUCUCCCUAGCCAAUCAAACUUGUUGAUUCUUUAGGGAUUGGUUGAGAAGGCCUAGAUCCACACUUCCACCAAGAGAAAAGUUGAUUCCCCCACCAAUCCCUUGCGGAUCUUGUUACUCUUGGGUGUUUGAGCAUCCUAGGCGGUUGAGGUCACCUCGAAGCCAUAUUCCAUUGUGGUGAAGCUUCGUGGUUUAGUUGGGAGCCUCCAAGCUUUGUGUGGAGUUGCCCCAACCUUGUUUGUAAAGGUUCGGUCGCCGCCUUCAAGGGCACCUAUAGUGGAAUCACGGUACCUUGCAUCGUGCGAGGGCGUGAGGAGAAUACGGUGGCCUUAGUGGCUUUUUGGGGAGCAUUGUGCCUCCACACCGCUCCAAGGGAGACCUACUUCAUGUCAAAGGGAAGGAACUUCGGUAACACAUCCACGUCUCCAUCGGUUCCACUUGUGGUUAUCUCUAUUCUUUACUUUGUAUUUCCUUACGCUUGUGACUAUAUCUUACUUGUCUUAAUAGCUCUCGGUGUUAGCUUCUUUAGGGUUCACCUCAUUGUCGUAUUAUUUGUGAACCCGUAUGUUGUUUACCUUAACUUGCUAAGAUUAAUUAAAAAGUGGUCGUUGUCUAUUCACCCCCCCCUCUAGCCAACCAUAUCGAUCCUUUCAAACGGCAUGGGUGAGAAGAAUCAGACCAAAAUACCCAUUAGUGUUCUUCGAUAUUUGCCAAUCGUACCAAGACUUCAACGUCUUUUCAUGGUCGAAGAGACGGGCAGACAGAUGACAUGGCACAAAUUAGGCAAAAGAACCGAACUAGAUGCGGAUGGGAACAAGAUGCUGGUACACACUUCAGAUGGUUUUGCGUGGAGGCACUUCGAUGCAUUACAUAAGGAUAAAUCGAAAGAUCCAAGGCAACGUAGAGUUGCCAUCAGCACGGAUGGGUUCAAUGUGUAUGGUAUGGCGGCAGCACAAUACAGUUGUUGGCCUGUAUUUGUCAUUCCACUAAAUUUGCCACUCGGAGAGAUUAUGAAAAGAAAGAACAUUUUCCUGACGUUGAUAAUUCCAGGGCCCAACUAUCCGGGGAAGAAUAUGAAUGUGUACAUGCAGCUGCUUAAGGAUGAGUUGUAAGAAGCCUGGGAUAAUGGGAUCAAGACCUACGAUGCGGCUACCAAAACAAAUUUCAAAAUGCAUGUCUGGUAGAUGUACUCGACGCAUGAUUAUCCGGCGUUUGCGCUAUUCGCUGGCUGGUGUGUGCAUGGAAGGUUCCCGUGCACCACAUGCAAGGCAGCUCUUCAGUUCCGUUGGCUGCAGGCUGGUCGCAAGUAUUCUUGCUUCGACAUGCAUAGACAAUUCCUGGAUCCUGACCAUAAGUUCAGAAAAGACAAGAAGAAUUUCAUCAAAGGUAGAGUUGUCAAAAACACUGCACCAGCUGCGUUGACAGGCCAACAGACCCUUGAUCAGUUAAACGCUCUCGAGCCUGAUCCUUUGCGUCCAGGAUACUUCAAAGGGUAUAAUACGGAAGACGCCUGGACUCACAAGUCAUGCUUAUGGGAUCUGCCUUACUUCAAAGACCUCCUUUGCCCACACAACAUUGACGUGAUGCACACUGAAAAUAAUAUUGCGGAGGCCAUUUUUGGUACAUUGUUCGGCAUAGAGGGGAAGUCAAAAGAUAAUCCUAAGUCUAGAAUCGACCUGGAGGCUCUAUGUGAUAGACCGUUGCAAAACUUGCGACAACGGAAAGGAAAGCAAAGCAUAGCGCAAAGGCAUGGUUCAAUCUUGAAAGGCCAGCUAUGAGGGAAAUGCUAUUGUGGGUGAAAAUGCGGUUGAUGUUCCCCAAUGGGUAUGCUCCGAAUCUAAAGAGGGGAGCGAGUCUUGAGAAACUGAAAAUAUUUGGGCUCAAGAGUCAUGAUUGGCACAUAUGGAUUGAGCGGGUAAUGCCGGUGAUGUUGCGUGGCUUUAUCCCUGAGGAUGAAGGGCUAGUACUGGCAGAGCUGAGCUAUUUCUUCCGUUCUCUUUGUGCGAAAGAACUAUCGCCUGGCGUGCUAGAUGAAAUGGAAGAGUUGGCGCCGGAGUUGAUCUGCAAAUUAGAAAAGAUCUUUCCACCGGGCUUCUUUAAUCUAAUGCAACAUUCGAUUUUGCAUAUCCCGACCGAGGCAAGAAUGGGGGGCUCGUUCAAAAUCGAUGGUGCUACUCAACUGAGAGGAUGUAGAAGACGCUUUGAGCUAAGUGUAAAAAUAAACGUAGAAUUGAAGCAUCGAUGACCGAGGCAUUCAUUACUGAGGAGGCGGCAAACUUCGUGACAGCACACUACGAAGCCAAAAAUCAUCAUUUGCAUAACCCGAAGCCUCGGUACAAUGAUGGCGAUCGAAAAAAAGUUCGAUCCAACCUCAGCGUAUUCAAAGGUAAGCUCGCACAAUCCGGUGCUUCGAAAGGGAAAUCGUUGGAUGCCGAAGAAUGGCGGACCAUUUCAUUGUAUAUCUUCACCAACCUAACAGAAGUGCGGCCGUACAUCGAGUAAGUUCUCGGUAAUUUAUUGUUCUGCAACUUCUAAUUGCUUUGAACUACUCUUAUUCCCGGAUAUUUGAUAUAGUCGAUACGUCACUGAAUUCUCGGAUGGAGCGGUCAUCGAAAAGGAUUCCGUCGAAGAGUAUGAGCUUCUCGCAAAGCAUGGAGGCGACUAUCCCGGUUUCAUCUCUUGGUUCAAACAAAGGGUAAUUAAUUACCAUUAAGGGCCCAUUUGAUUUCUUGGUCUAAUUUGCGGCUAAUGCAUCCAUUCUUUCGUAUUAAACUUGUAGGCUGAUGCAGAGUCUAUGGACGCCGAGUUGAGACAAGUCGCUAAUGGUUUUGACUAUAAGGUCCGUUCAUUUGAUAAAUACAACAUCCAUGGGUAUCAUUUUCAUACCUUUGGCAAAGAGCUAUCUAUGCCCGACCAAUAGUCUACAAAUUGUUCUGUCUCUGCUAUCGGCGAAGGAGACACCGAGUAUUAUGGAAGAGUUGAAGCAAUUUAUGAACUUCUAUUCUAUGGUGAAAACCCAUCGACCGUCGUAGUCUUCAAAUGAUAUUGGUUUGAGCCGAGGGAGACUAGAAGGACUCAUGAACAUAUAGGACUAGUCGAAAUCAACCAAAACACCCACUUAGAUGUUCCCGAUGUCUAUAUUACGGCUCAACAGGCGACACAAGUUUUCUAUCUACCGUGGGUCUGCCAAACUGAUCCAAAUCUCAAUGGUUGGGAUGUCGUUUAUGAAGUGCCACCACAUUUUAGACCACCUACCCUCAAUGAAGAGGAUUACGAACCUCACAUUAACCCAGACACAUAUGAAGGAGAAUUCGCCCUAUAGUGANNNNNNNNNNNNNNNNNNNNNNNNNNNNNNNNNNNNNNNNNNNNNNNNNNNNNNNNNNNNNNNNNNNNNNNNNNNNNNNNNNNNNNNNNNNNNNNNNNNNUCUUGUUUUCUUGUUUUGUGUCCAUGCAAGUGGGAGACUGUUGGAAAUAUGCCCUAGAGGCAAUAAUAAAAUGGUUAUUAUCAUAUCUCCUUGUUCAUGAUAAUCGUCUAUUGUUCAUGCUAUAAUUGUAUUAACAGGAAACAGUAAUACAUGUGUGAAUAUAUAGAUCACAAUGUGUCCCUAGCAAGCCUCUAGUUGGCUAGCUCAUUAGUCAAUAGAUGAUCAUGGUUUCCUGGUCAUGGGCAUUAGAUGUCAUUGAUAACGGGAUCACAUCAUUGGGAGAAUGAUGUGAUGGACAAGACCCAAUCCUAAGCCUAGCACUAGAUCGUAUUGUUCAUAUGCUAAUGCUUUUCUAAUGUCAAGUAUCUUUUCCUUCGACCGUGAGAUUGUGCAACUCCCGGAUACCGUAGGAGUGCUUUGGGUGUAUCAAACGUCACAUCGUAACUGGGUGACUAUAAAGGUGCACUACGGGUACCUCCGAAAGUGUCUGUUGGGUUGGCAUGAAUCGAGAUCNNNNNNNNNNNNNNNNNNNNNNNNNNNNNNNNNNNNNNNNNNNNNNNNNNNNNNNNNNNNNNNNNNNNNNNNNNNNNNNNNNNNNNNNNNNNNNNNNNNNACCUAACAUCAUGCAUUUGUUGGAAGAUUCUCCUAUAAGCAACUACUUGUAUUCCCACCUAAGAAUUCCUGAAAUAUCCGGUCAUGCAAUCUGGUACACGGAUACAAGGAGUAAUAUCACACAACUCCUAUACUAACCCGUCACCUGUAUCACAUUCGUCAACACACGACCAGAAUCUCGGACCUUCAUCUACAACAGACCCUCGUGAUUACAACGAUACAAAGUAUGGCAGUACUCCCGAACAAUCUUCACCAGUACUGGGGACAUCGGGGUUAUCUCGCCACUACUAGUAUUGAAGCAAUUAGGAACAUCCUUCGUCCUGAGAUAUUAAGAAAUCUGAAUGAUAACGAUGUGCUCGAGAAUCCCUUGGAGCUCAACUCCCCUAAAACUCAAAGCAGAUAGGAAGCACCAAGACAGAACUCCGUCACAUCGGCAUCAUAUAGAUUCCAAAAAUAUCCGCGUGAUCCUAAAAAAAAUUGAGUGAGAAGAGGAGUAGAAUUAAAUUAUUACGUCAAGAUUCCUCACCAGAGCAUAGAAGAGGAGAAAAAAGAAUCCUACUCUCCGAUAUAUAACUAGACUCAAAGCAGUUUUUUCACUAGACUCGACUCGGCCAAGUUCGAUCAAUCAAGGGGGCUCCAAGGUCAGUACUGCUCUGAUACCAACUUGUCACGCCCAAGAUGUGACUCUAUCCUCAAUUUGCACGAGGGCCUCAUCAGGGAUAGAAGCGCAUCUCGUCGUGUCGCAAGAAUGGAUAUCGUUACAAGUACAUGUACUGAAAAGAUGAGAUAUAUAUUUAGAAUUGGCUAACACUCGCCACAAGCUACAUUAGAGUCACAACAGUACAGUACAUAUUCAUCAAGAGUAAGAACAGGGUCCGACUAUGGACGAAAAACAAACAACAAAAGAAGAACGACGUCCAUCCUUGCUAUCCCAGGAUGCCGGCCUGGAACCCAUCCUAGAUCGAUGAAGAAGAAGAAGAAGAAGAAGCAACUCCAAAUGAACAAUCAACGCGCUCGCGUCAAGUAACCUUUACAUGUACCUGCAACUAGUGUUGUAGUAAUCUGUGAGCCACAGGGGACUCAGCAAUCUCAUUUCCAAAGGUAUCAAGACUAGCAAAGCUUAAUGGGUGAGGUAUGGUUAAGUGGUGAGGUUGCAGCAGCGGCUAAGCAUAUAUUUGGUGGCUAAACUUACGAGUACAAGAAAUAAGAGGGGGAAGAUCUAUGCAUAACAGACGUGAACUAACGAUGAUCAAAUGAAUGAUCCUGAACACCUACCUACGUCAGACAAAACCCCACAGUGUCCUCGAUCGGAGAAAGAACUCACGAAAGAGACAGUCACGGUUAUGCACACAGUUGACAUAUUUUAAUUAAGUUAACUUCAAGUUAUCUAGAACCAGUGUUAAACAAAUUCCACCACAUAACCGCGGGCACGUCUUUCCGAAAAGAUUUAACCCUACAGGGGUGCUCCAACUAGUCCAUCACAAAUUACCACAAGCCGCAUAGAAAUCCUCAAUCACGAAGCUCGCGAUCUCGUCGGAUUCCCUACUGGAAAACCUCAACUCUGAGAUUACCCAAAGCAUCACCGGAAUCCCGAUGCACAAGAUAUUUCGUCAAAGGUAAAACUAAUCCAGCAAGGCCGCCCCACGUGUCGACGAUCCCGAUAGGAGUCGCGUACCUCGUCCUCAGGACACGAUGGAUGGGUCACACUAGGAGAUACCAAACCUCGGGUUGCCCCGCGGUGGCCCCGUAGUCUGCCAAUUUGGACCAACACUUAUGAGGAGCACUGGCCCGGGGGUUGAUUAAAUUAGUCCGCGGGUGCCGGCGGGUCCCUAUGCAUUAUUAUUAGGUUAUUAGGCAAAUGUAGUACCAAAGUUGGGGCUCGCCAGACCAGUCUUAAUCUAAAACGAAUUAUCAAGGGGGUCCCCAUAACAACCCCGAUCGUGUUAGGAGCGCUCAUUUAUGGAACAUAACACCGGUAGCCGAAAACUAAGGGGGCAAAGGUGGAACAAAACACCAGGCUAGAAAGGCCGAGCCUUCCACCUUUUACCAAGUAUAUAGGUGCAUUAAAUUAAAUAGCAUUUAAUAGGGUGAUAUAACAAGGAACCCAUGUUUUCACAUGGAAGCAUCUGCACCUGCAACUAGCAACGCUAUCAACGGGGUUAAGCAAGCAGUAACAUAGCCAAUCAGUGGUUUGCUAGGUUGAACAGGUUGAAGGUUUCAUGGCAUUGUUGGGAGGCUGAUAUUUAACAUGUGGUAGGCAACGAGGCAUAAUCGAUAGAAAUGAUAAAACUAGCAUGGCAAUGAUAGUAAUGGUAUCUGGGGAAAUGAUCAUCUUGCAUGAGAUCCCGCUGAGAAGAAGAACGACUCCGUGAAGCAGACGAACCGACGUAGAUGAACGGGUCCUCACAAUCCGACACGCUUGCGGAACUCUAUCGAGGCAAAGCAAACCGGAAACACAAGUCAACACAAGAUAUUCACCACAUGAUGCGCAACACAUAUGAUGCAUGAACAGUUGAAAACAUGCAAGACACGGCAUGCCAAUUCACACACUCAAGCACUACACAUUAAGUGAAGUUCAAUAUGCAACGAGUUGCAUAUUGACGAACUCCACGUUUAUUUAUUUAGUUCUAUGCUGAUUAGAUACACGGCAAUAUUAAAUGUGGUUAAACAUGGAAAGAGGUGAAGCGUAAUUAAACUACCUAUCUAGGCAUUUUAAAUGAGGUCGGAAAUGACAUAUAGCACCUCCGAGACGACCUCACAUGUUAAUUCACAAUUCUGUCCAGAUCUGAACUAACACAUUUAAUUAGUUGUUAAACAGUAAAAAGAAUAGGUUCACGUGAUUCUACGCGUCGAGACAAGCAAUCUACACAUAAAGAACAUCUCCAACGGAGCUACGGUUCGAAAGAUACAAGCAUCGCAAGAUAUGAUGGCAUGAAUGCAAUAUGUGUGCAACGACGGUCACGAGCACUUCAAAACAAACGACCAGCAAGAGAAAAUGAAACUACACGAUAUUCUAAGCAAGUUUCAUAUAGGACACGAUCAAAUCGGAGCUACGGUUCAACAACUACGAGCAAAACAAGAAAUUGCUACAAUCUGCCAAAAUCAGCCACAUAGCAUCUUCUACACCCCACAACUACGAGCUACUCAACUCAAAUAUAUUCAACCAAGGCAUGACACGAAAGAGGGUAAGAAGCACUACAGCAAACAACUAACAACAACUAGCAUGGCAGCAAGGAACACUAGGAAAAGAAGUCACAAAAUGGCUUCUCACACACUAUUUCAGACUUGGUGAAAAUUACACUUCAUGAAAGUGCAGUUUUCGAUCUGAAGCCAUAUUGACAGCAGCUAAAUCAUAAGCUACAGGACUCCAAAUGGUAUGAAAAUUCACAGCAUGCUAGAGACACACAAGGUUUACAACUAACUCCAUUGGACCAACCUCAAAAGAGCUACAUAUCACAAGAUAGAAGCAAAACAAAACAGCAACAAAUUAUAACAGAUUCCAGACUUAGAAAUAUUUCAGCACCUCCAAAUCAGCACUAUUUCUAGCAACUUGAGAGCAAGCAAACCACACCUAAACAUGCAUUUCUAUUGCAACUAAAAAUACCAGGGGCUAGAGUAAACAUCCAAGAACAACUCCCUAGUUGACAACUUAAUCAAACAAAGCACGGAAUAAUUCCUACGAAAAUGACAAGAGGGCAACAUAGCAAAAUAUCGCCGAACUAACUUGCUCAAAAGCUAAAACUAAUUGCACAGAAAAAUCCCAUGGAUUUUUCUACCCCGAAAACAUGUAAAACAAGUGGGGUUGCAACACAAAAAUAUCGCGGCACUUAAAUGCGAGAAAAUAACCUAUACACGGGAAAAUAGACUAGCGGCAAUCCCUACACGCAAAAAUACGAAUGACUACUCUAAAAUACAUGGAAAAAUGGUUCCUAAAACAUGGACAUUUUAUCUAAGGCAUACGAGCAAUCCGGGCACGCACGAAAAAUAAAUACGGGCGCUAUCCUAUUGGAAUAGCACAUUAAUCUAUGCAUUUGGCACGACAAACCACGUCAAACAAACAUGCAAGUUUUAAAUUCGGAUUGUACGCGAAAUUCUACACUAAAACCAUAUAUUACAUGUCUCGAUCCGAUUAAUGGAAAAUAAACUACGGGCAUUCUAAUAUAUCUAUUUAUCUGGAAUUUAUAUUAAUUCGGAAAUAAAUUCCUAAAAGGAAAAAUUACCUACGGGCCUAUCUACUAGGCGCAGCAUAACUAAAAUGCAACUAGGUGAGGAAUAGGAGUGCAGGGUGGAGGAUCUCACCUCGACCACGUGGGUCGGCCUGAGGUGGGCCUUGGGGAGGCCUCGGGUCGGUGGGGAGCAACGGCUUGGGCCGGCUGUGGGGGGAGGCCCAGCAGGGCGAUAGGUGGCGCAGGCGCGGCGGAGGCCCAGGCNNNNNNNNNNNNNNNNNNNNNNNNNNNNNNNNNNNNNNNNNNNNNNNNNNNNNNNNNNNNNNNNNNNNNNNNNNNNNNNNNNNNNNNNNNNNNNNNNNNNUAGCAACGCUAUCAACGGGGUUAAGCAAGCAGUAACAUAGCCAAUCAGUGGUUUGCUAGGUUGAACAGGUUGAAGGUUUCAUGGCAUUGUUGGGAGGCUGAUAUUUAACAUGUGGUAGGCAACGAGGCAUAAUCGAUAGAAAUGAUAAAACUAGCAUGGCAAUGAUAGUAAUGGUAUCUGGGGAAAUGAUCAUCUUGCAUGAGAUCCCGCUGAGAAGAAGAACGACUCCGUGAAGCAGACGAACCGACGUAGAUGAACGGGUCCUCACAAUCCGACACGCUUGCGGAACUCUAUCGAGGCAAAGCAAACCGGAAACACAAGUCAACACAAGAUAUUCACCACAUGAUGCGCAACACAUAUGAUGCAUGAACAGUUGAAAACAUGCAAGACACGGCAUGCCAAUUCACACACUCAAGCACUACACAUUAAGUGAAGUUCAAUAUGCAACGAGUUGCAUAUUGACGAACUCCACGUUUAUUUAUUUAGUUCUAUGCUGAUUAGAUACACGGCAAUAUUAAAUGUGGUUAAACAUGGAAAGAGGUGAAGCGUAAUUAAACUACCUAUCUAGGCAUUUUAAAUGAGGUCGGAAAUGACAUAUAGCACCUCCCAGACGACCUCACAUGUUAAUUAACAAUUCUGUCCCGAUCUCAACUAACACAUUUAAUUAGUUGUUAAACAGAAAAAUCAAUAGGUUCACGUGAUUCUACGCGUCGACACAAGCAAUCUACACAUAAAGAACAUCUCCAACGGAGCUACGGUUCCAAAGAUACAAGCAUCGCAAGAUAUGAUGGCAUGAAUGCAAUAUGUGUGCAACCACGGUCACGAGCACUUCAAAACAGACCACCACCAAGAGAAAAUGAAACUACACGACAUUCGAAGCAAGUUUCAUAUAGGACACGAUCAAAUCGGAGCUACGGUUCAACAACUACGAGCAAAACAAGAAAUACCUACAAUCUGCCAAAAUCAGCCACAUAGCAUCUUCUACACCCCACAACUACGAGCUACUCAACUCAAAUAUAUUCAACCAAGGCAUGACACGAAAGAGGGUAAGAAGCACUACAGCAAACAACUAACAACAACUAGCAUGGCAGCAAGGAACACUAGGAAAAGAAGUCACAAAAUGGCUUCUCACACACUAUUUCAGACUNNNNNNNNNNNNNNNNNNNNNNNNNNNNNNNNNNNNNNNNNNNNNNNNNNNNNNNNNNNNNNNNNNNNNNNNNNNNNNNNNNNNNNNNNNNNNNNNNNNNCCCAGACGACCUCACAUGUUAAUUAACAAUUCUGUCCCGAUCUCAACUAACACAUUUAAUUAGUUGUUAAACAGAAAAAUCAAUAGGUUCACGUGAUUCUACGCGUCGACACAAGCAAUCUACACAUAAAGAACAUCUCCAACGGAGCUACGGUUCCAAAGAUACAAGCAUCGCAAGAUAUGAUGGCAUGAAUGCAAUAUGUGUGCAACCACGGUCACGAGCACUUCAAAACAGACCACCACCAAGAGAAAAUGAAACUACACGACAUUCGAAGCAAGUUUCAUAUAGGACACGAUCAAAUCGGAGCUACGGUUCAACAACUACGAGCAAAACAAGAAAUACCUACAAUCUGCCAAAAUCAGCCACAUAGCAUCUUCUACACCCCACAACUACGAGCUACUCAACUCAAAUAUAUUCAACCAAGGCAUGACACGAAAGAGGGUAAGAAGCACUACAUCAAACAACUAACAAAAACUAGCAUGGCAGCAAGGAACACUAGGAAAAGAAGUCACAAAAUGGCUUCUCACACACUAUUUCAGACUNNNNNNNNNNNNNNNNNNNNNNNNNNNNNNNNNNNNNNNNNNNNNNNNNNNNNNNNNNNNNNNNNNNNNNNNNNNNNNNNNNNNNNNNNNNNNNNNNNNNGCAAUCUGGUACACGGAUACAAGGAGUAAUAUCACACAACUCCUAUACUAACCCGUCACCUGUAUCACAUCCAUCAACACAAGACCAGAAUCUCGGACCUUCGUCUACAACAGGCCCUCAUGAUCACAACGAUACAAAGUAUGGCAGUACUCCCGAACAAUCUGCACCAGUACUGGGGACAUCGGGGUUAUCUCGCCACUACUAGUAUUGAAGCAAUUACGAACAUCCUUCGUCCUGGUAUAUUAAGAAAUCUAAAUGAUAACGAUGUGCUCGAGAAUCCCCUGGAGCUCAACUCCCCUGAAACUCAAAGCACAUAGGAGGCACCAAGAUAGAACUCCGUCACAUUGGCAUCAUAUAGAUUCCAAAAAUAUCCGAGUGAUCCUAAAAAAUUUUGAGUGAGAAGAGGAGUAGAAUUAAAUUAUUACGUCAAGAUUCCUCACCAGAGCAUAGAAGUGGAGAAAAAAGAAUCCUACUCUCCGAUAUAUAACUAGACUCUAAGCAGUUUUUUCACUAGACUCGACUCGGCCAAGUUUGAUCAAUCAAGGGGGCUCCUAGGUCGGUACUGCUCUGAUACCGACUUGUCACGCCCAAGAUGCGACCCUAUCCUCAAUUUGGCACGAGGGCCUCGUUAGGGAUAGAAGCGCAUCUCGUCGUGUCGCAAGAAUGGAUAUCGUUACAAGUACAUGUACUCAAAAGAUGAUAUAUAUAUUUGGAAUUGGCUUACACUUGCCACAAGAAACAUCAGAGUCACAACAGUACAAUACAUAUUCAUCAAGAGUAAGAGCAGGGUCCGACUACGGACGAAAAACAAACGACAAAAGAAGAACGAUGUCCAUCCUUGCUAUCCCAGGCUGCCGGCCUGGAACCCAUCCUAGAUCGAUGAAGAAGAAGAAGAAGUAACUCCAAAUGAACAAUCAACGCGCUCGCGUCAAGUAACCUCUACCUGUACCUGCAACUGUUGUCGUAGUAAUCUGUGAGCCACAGGGGACUCAGCAAUCUCAUUUCCAAAGGUAUCAAGACUAGCAAAGCUUAAUGGGUGAGGUAUGGUUAAGUGGUGAGGUUGCAGCAGCGGCUAAGCAUAUAUUUGGUGGCUAAACUUACGAGUACAAGAAAUAAGAGGGGGAAGAUCUAUGCAUAACAGACGUGAACUAACGAUGAUCAAAUGAAUGAUCCUGAACACCUACCUACGUCAGACAAAACCCCACAGUGUCCUCGAUCGGAGAAAGAACUCACGAAAGAGACAGUCACGGUUAUGCACACAGUUGACAUAUUUUAAUUAAGUUAACUUCAAGUUAUCUAGAACCAGUGUUAAACAAAUUCCACCACAUAACCGCGGGCACGUCUUUCCGAAAAGAUUUAACCCUACAGGGGUGCUCCAACUAGUCCAUCACAAAUUACCACAAGCCGCAUAGAAAUCCUCAAUCACGAAGCUCGCGAUCUCGUCGGAUUCCCUACUGGAAAACCUCAACUCUGAGAUUACCCAAAGCAUCACCGGAAUCCCGAUGCACAAGAUAUUUCGUCAAAGGUAAAACUAAUCCAGCAAGGCCGCCCCACGUGUCGACGAUCCCGAUAGGAGUCGCGUACCUCGUCCUCAGGACACGAUGGAUGGGUCACACUAGGAGAUACCAAACCUCGGGUUGCCCCGCGGUGGCCCCGUAGUCUGCCAAUUUGGACCAACACUUAUGAGGAGCACUGGCCCGGGGGUUGAUUAAAUUAGUCCGCGGGUGCCGGCGGGUCCCUAUGCAUUAUUAUUAGGUUAUUAGGCAAAUGUAGUACCAAAGUUGGGGCUCGCCAGACCAGUCUUAAUCUAAAACGAAUUAUCAAGGGGGUCCCCAUAACAACCCCGAUCGUGUUAGGAGCGCUCAUUUAUGGAACAUAACACCGGUAGCCGAAAACUAAGGGGGCAAAGGUGGAACAAAACACCAGGCUAGAAAGGCCGAGCCUUCCACCUUUUACCAAGUAUAUAGGUGCAUUAAAUUAAAUAGCAUUUAAUAGGGUGAUAUAACAAGGAACCCAUGUUUUCACAUGGAAGCAUCUGAACCUGCAACUAGCAACGCAAUCAACAGGGUUAAGCAAGCAGUAACAUAGUCAAUCAGUGGUUUGCUAGGUUGAAUAGGUUGAAGGUUUCAUGGCAUUGUCGAGAGGCUGAUAUUUAACAUGUGGUAGGCAACGAGACAUAAUCGAUAGAAGCAAUAAAACUAGCAUGGCAAUGAUAGUAAUGGUAUCUGGGGAAAUGGUCAUCUUGCCUGAGAUCCUGCUGAGAAGAAGAACGACUCUGUGAAGCAGACGAACCGACGUAGACGAACAUGUCCUCACAAUCCGACACGCUUGCGGAACUCUAUCGAGGCGAAGCAAACCGGAAACGCAAGUCAACACAAGAUAUUCACCACACGAUGCACAACACAUAUGAUGCAUUAGUAGUUGAAAACAUGCAAGACACGGCAUGACAAUUCACACACUCAAGCACUACACAUUAAGUGAAGUUCAAUAUGCAACGAGUUGCAUAUUGACGAAACUCCACGUUUAUUUAUUUAGUUCUAUCCCGAUUAGAUACACGGAAAUAUUAAAUGUGGUUAAACAUGGCAAGAGGUGAAGCGUAAUUAAACUACCUAUCUAGGCAUUUUAAAUGAGGUCGGAAAUGACAUAUAGCACCUNNNNNNNNNNNNNNNNNNNNNNNNNNNNNNNNNNNNNNNNNNNNNNNNNNNNNNNNNNNNNNNNNNNNNNNNNNNNNNNNNNNNNNNNNNNNNNNNNNNNAGUGGGCAUUAAGAGCUAAAGUGUCUGCGGUCGUCCAUGGGGAUGAUAACACACAAUUUUUUCAUAUGAUAGCCAAUGGCAAACGUAGAAAGAAGAAAAUAUUGCAACUUGAACAGUAUGAGGCUACAAUUAUUGGGCAUGAGAACCUAAAAAUGUAUAUCUCAAACUAUUACAAAAAAAUAUUUGGUACUCCCGAAGUGAACUCUGUAACAUUAGAUGAAACUGCUACAGAGGAUAUACCUCAACUCAAUGACGAUGAGAAUGGGGUCCUUUCAGCUCCGUUUACUGAGAAAGAGGUGUUUGAUGCAAUUAUGCAAAUGAAACAGAACAAAGCCCCUGGACCAGAUGGGUUUCCAAUUGAGUUUUACAAACGCUGCUGGCACAUCAUAAAAGAUGACCUUAUGUCCAUGUUUCAUGAUUUAUUUAACGGGCAGCUCCAUUUAUUUCACUUAAACAUUGGCUCCAUAACUUUACUACCAAAGAAAGAAGGAGCCAUUCGAAUUGAGCAAUUUAGGCCAAUUUGUUUGCUAAAUGUCAGUUUCAAAAUAUUCACAAAGGUUGCAAUGAAUAGAUUGGCACACAUAGCACAUUCGGUUGUUCAAGAAACUCAAACAGCGUUCAUGCCAGGUAGACACAUCCUGGAAGGGGUUGUCGUACUGCAUGAAACGUUACACGAAAUACACUCUAAGAAACUAGAUGGAGUAGUUUUUAAAGUGGAUUUUGAGAAAGCAUAUGACAAAGUGAAAUGGCCUUUUCUACAGCAAGCGAUGCGAAUGAAAGGGUUCAAUGAAGCCUGGAGGAAACAGGUUGAGACCUUUAUCCAAAAAGGUAGUGUAGGGAUAAAGAUUAACGAUGACAUGGGUCAUUAUUUCCAAACUUACAAAGGAUUAAGACAGGGAGAUGCUAUGUCCCCAAUUCUAUUCAACAUAAUUGCUGAUAUGUUGACGAUCCUAAUAAAUAGAGCCAAGGAGAAGGCACUUAUUGGGGGACUGAUUCCACAUUUGGUGGAUGGAGGAGUGUCCAUCUUACAAUACGCGGAUGAUACAAUCAUUUUUAUGGAGCAUGACAUAGCCAAAGCUAAGAAUAUGAAACUUAUACUGUGCCUGUUUGAACAACUCUCGGGGCUAAAGAUUAAUUUUAAGAAAAGCGAAUUGUUCUGUUUUGGUAAAGCCAAGGAGGAACAAGAAUCCUACAAACAAUUAUUCGGUUGCGAGAUGGGAUCGUUGCCAUUUUCUUAUUUGGGUAUACCUAUUCACCACAGAAAACUUACAAAUAAAGAAUGGAAAAGCAUUGAGGAUCGUUUUGAGAAAAGACUAAGUUGCUGGAAGAGCAAACUUAUGUCAUAUGGGGGCCGGCUAGUGCUUAUUAACUCAGUGUUAACAAGUUUACCAAUGUUCCUCCUAUCUUUUUUCGAGAUACCUGUAGGGGUACGAAAAGGACUAGAUUUUUACAGAUCUAGAUUUUUUUGGCAAAGUGAUGAAAGUAAGAAGAAAUAUAGGCUUGCCAAAUGGGACAUGAUGUGCAGGCCGAAGGAUCAAGGAGGGUUAGGAAUAGAAAACCUACAGGUGAAAAACAUGUGCUUAUUAAGCAAAUGGAUUUAUAAACUUUCAGUGGAGACGGAAGGAAUAUGGGUGCAAAUUGCGUAAUAACUACCUACAAACCAAAACUCUGGCACAAGUGACAGUGAAACGCACGGAUUCACGGUUUUGGAAAGGGUUAAUGAAGAUAAAACAAUCCUUUUUCCGUAUGGUGAAGUUUCACAUAGGCGAUGGUACCACGACCAGAUUUUGGGAGGAUACGUGGUUGGGAGAUACACCACUAUCUGCGCAGUAUCCGGUAUUAUAUAAUAUUGUACGGCGUAAACAGGAUUAUGUCGCUACAGUUAUGCAGACAACCCCCCUAAAUAUUCAAUUCAGGAGGUCACUGCUGGGAGAAAGAUGGGAUUAUUGGUUACACUUGGUAAGAAGGCUUAUGAAUGUACAGCUAUCUGACCAACCAGACAAAAUUCACUGGAAGUUAACUACAAGUGGUAGUUUUACAGUGAAAUCGAUGUACACACACACCAUUAAUACCGGAACAAUUCCUACCUCUUCACAUAUUUGGAAAAUUAAAGUACCACUAAAAAUUAAGAUUUUUAUGUGGUUUCUUCACAAAGGGGUCAUACUCACGAAAGAUAAUUUGAUUAAAAGAAGAUGGGUGGGUAACCCUAGAUGUUGCUUCUGUGAUAACAACGAAACGAUAAAACACCUCUUUCUCGAUUGUCCAUUGGCUAGACUUUUAUGGCGCACUAUUCAUAUAGCUUUUAAUAUUAAUACUCCAUUAAGUAUGAACAUGUUAUUUGGGACGUGGCUUAAUGGAGUGCAAGACAAUAUAGCCAAGCAAAUUAGGAUUGGAUCAUGUGCUUUAUUAUGGGCUAUUUGGAAUAGCAGGAAUGAUAUGAUUUUUAACAAUAAUAGAUUCAACAACUUCUUACAGGUCAUAUACAGAGCAACCUCCUUGAUCCGUACGUGGUUGUUACUCACGCCUCCGGAGUUCAGGGAUCGUUUGGCUAUUGGGUGCAACCGGUGGGAGACGGCAGCGCGGGCUAUCUUCAACCGAUAUGGAUGGCUGCACACUAACAGGCUAGGUGUAUAGGCAUCUUAGUCUGAGCUUGAUUUAGCCCAUGUUGGCAUGUAUUUAUUUUUCCUUUUCGGUAGACUUCUGGCUGUUUAUGUACCUUGCACUACGGUUCAACCUUUGCGACUAAAUAAAAUGGCUGCAUGCAUCAUCAUGAUGCAGAAGCCGGGGGCUCAUCCUCCUUUUCAAAAAAAAAAUCAAGCAAAGUUUGUGCUACUAUUUUGACGUGGAGAUACCAACCGCUCGUGAAGACUAACUAGUAGUUCGACUUUGUUUCUUUUUUCUCCAAUUGCUACGUCUACAUCCGAGACAUACUACCAGGUGCUAUUUAUCCUAUUCCGUUUGAUCCGUAAAUUAAUUCUAUCAAAAUAAUUUCUACCGGCUUGUACUACUUUGUGUACACAGAUUUAUCUACUCAUGACACCCAUGAAGUAUGAUCUUCCGUUGUUGGACCGUGACACAAGGUUUACCCUAUGACAAUUCAAGAUACGAGCAUUGUUCGCACAGGCCGACUAUGAUGAUGCACUGGAUAGUUUUGGGAAGAAUAGAAUUGAGGACUGGACUGCUGAUGAGAAAAGAAGGGAUCGUAAGUGAUGGGGUUAUAGUCCUAGGGUAGGGUCAUAGGCCUGCCCUGUGGAGCCUACCCAAGGACUACCCUUCAUGAAGGAUAAUGCCCUUAGUCAGUUCCGACUGAAUUAAGGACUUUCCAUCAUCCAGUCGGUGACGAUUCCUCUAUCAUCCAGUCGGAGAUGAGCAUUCGGAGCGUAUCAAGCUUACCGACUGGAUUCCACUCUGUACAUCGUAACCCCCUGGAGGGCAACGGUCAUACGUUUCCAUAUACCUUUAUUAGCAUUUAAGAUAUACGUUACCUGUAACGUAUGUAGUUAUUCACCACUACUCCACCCCUGCGCACCGAACCGUUGUGAAGGGUAGCGCACUCUAUAUAAGCCGCCUUUCCCCACUGGUGCAGGGGUUAGCAAUUCACUGUAAUCCAUAUUCCACUUGACAACAAGCUCCCAAGAGCACUGAGACGUAGGGCUUUUACCUCCACCGUAGAGGGGCCUGAACUCAUACAACCUCGCCGUAGCUAAGGCUCUGCCCAUCCUUUCGUACCCUACACAUCUACUGUCAGGCUUAUACCCAUGACAGUUGGCGCCCGCCGUGGGGCAGGCGUCUAAGCGACUUCCGGCGAGCUUGCGACUACAUCUUUUCAUCAUGUCAUCCGGUGGAGAUCUGAGCAUGGGUCACGAGAUCCUCUUCGGCGCUCUCUCCUUCAUCGUCGAUGAUUCGGCAUGGCUUUGGGAUGCCCCUCUCGACGUCGAGGCGCUCCCCAUCCGCGGGGCUACGCACUUCCGUGCCGGUGCCCGUGGUAUUCUUCUUCUCCAGCAGUCGGCUCCGGUGUCGACCUGCGCCGUCAUCGCGCGCCGCAACAAGCGGUCCCGCCGUCCGCGGCUCCAGCGAUGGGUGCAACACGCCCAGGCGCGCCAGAACGCGUCCUCACAAGUGGCGGUCCUAGAGUCGGUUGUGGUUGCACCGCCAUCCCAGCGCUCGGACUCAGUUCCGACUGAGUUUCCUUUCGAGUACUUGGGUCGUGGGCCUGCAGCUGAAGUGCACAUGGCCAACUCCCAUGAAAGUCCCCGCCAAACUGGCCGGAACGAGCACGAGGUCGGCGAAACAUCCGGCGCUCGCCGUCAGCCCCUCCGUUCUGCCAGUCGGCACACUCGACGGAGCAACGUGGAGGUGUACCGCACACCCGUCCUCAACCUGGCUGACGCCGCCAAGAUAGUCGAUUCUCUCCAGCCGACUGAUUCAGAGUCUCGCAGAGGGAUCGAGCAAAUCCGUGCCCUGCUACACACGGCGCAACAGCAAAAUUCAGCGGUCUCCCAGUCGCACAACAGGAUUCACAAUAGUUCUAUUCACGCGAACAUGCAUCGGUCUGUUCACAGCCCCGGUUCUCAUCAGCGACAUAGGGGAGGCAGCCGUUCCAUGAAUCCCGAAGAUCGUCGCCGCUCACGCACCCCUCCGCGGGGUGGGCCCUAUGGGUCCCGACAUCAUGAUGAUCGGCGUUCAGUCGGUGACACUUAUGAUCCUAGGCCCGACGCGAGAGGGCAUAUCGCCCAGAGGAGGGUCGACAGGGGCCGAGCCCACCGCGAUGGCCACGAUAUGGACCGUCCGAGUGGAAGCAGGACCAUCGUCUCUGGCCCCGAGUGUUUCAGUCGAGCCAUCCGUUCAGCUGACAUCCCUCCCAACUUCCGUUUGGUGACGGGGAUCAGCAAGUUGACAGGAGAAUCCAAGCCAGAAACGUGGCUGGACGACUACCAAGUGGCAGUCCAGAUCGGAGGAGGGGACGACCACGUCGCAAUGAAACACCUACCUCUGAUGCUCGACGGCUCGGCACGAGCGUGGCUGAAUCAGUUGGCUCCUUCAAGCAUCUACAGCUCGGCAGAUCUGGCCCGAGUCUUCAUUAGGACCUUCGAAGGGACGUGCAAACGCCCUACUGGCCUCGUGGAGCUCCAGCACUGUGUCCAGAAGUAGAAUGAGCCCCUGCGCGAUUUCAUUCAGUGUUGGACGACCCUCUACCACACGGUGGAGAACGUCACAGAGCACCAAGCAGUCUGCGCCUUCAAGGCAGGCGUGCGGUACAGAGAUUUUUACCUGAAGUUCGGUCGAACAGGCGACAUCUCCAUGAGUAAGAUGAUGGAGGCAGCGGCACGCUAUGCAAAUGGCGAAGAAGAGGACCGCAUUCGUAGCGGCAAGCAGAAAGCAGUCGCCGACGGAUAUGGGAACGGCACUCGGAAGCAGAAGCAGAAAGCCCCGUCCACUCCGCAGGCAGAGGCCGCAGCCGUUACCAAUGCCAAGUUCAAGGGCAAGGGGAAGGCUCAGUUCACCCCCAAGAAGAAGCCGUUCGGAAACCCCAUCCUGGACCAGCCAUGUCCAAUUCACACGAAGAUGGAUGAAGAGGGCAACGCCAUAUAUCCGAAGCAUACCACUUGGCAAUGUCGUCUCCUGAUCCAGGGGUUCGACGAAGGACAAUCGAGUGAAAAGGGCAAUGAACAGGAUGAGGAGGACAAGGAGGAUCCGUUCCCCCAAGUCCAUGCAACAUUGAUGAUUUUUGCUGACAUUGAGAGCAAGAGUCGACUGAAGCUGGUGAACAGAGAGGUGAACAUGGCCACGCCAACCAACCCGACGUUCCUCAAAUGGUCUCAGACUGCGAUCACCUUUGACCAGUCGGAUCAUCCAGCACACGUACCCACCCCAGGGAGGCAGGCUCUGGUCGUCGACCCGGUGGUGGAAGGAGUCCGACUGCGCAAAGUCCUCAUGGACGGUGGCAGUGGCUUAAACAUCAUGUACGCUGACACUCUCAAGGGGAUGGGCAUUCCGAUGUCCAAACUUAAGAGCAGCAUGCAGUUCCACGGAGUCGUCCCGGGACGAAAGGCCAAGUCACUCGGCCAGAUCGCGUUGGACGUCGUCUACGGCUCCGACAAGAACUUCCGCAAGGAAAAGCUGACGUUCGAGGUGGUGGACUUCCAGAGUGCGUACAACGCAAUUCUGGGCCGCCUUGUUACGUGUACCUAAAGCUGAAGAUGCCAGGCCCAAAAGGUGUGAUCACUAUCACAGGCAAUCAGCAGCGGGCUGAGGAGUGUCUGCAGCAGGGAUCGAGGAUCGCCGAUCAGCAGAUGGCUGUCCUCGAGCUUAACGAGUACUAGAAGACAGUAGACCCCGCUGACUUGAUGCGUUCGAAGAAGCCAGCUUCGGAGUCCGCAUUCCAGUCGGCGGGAGAGACGAAGAAGGUCAGCAUCCACCCGACGGACGACACCGCCGCCCCGAUGAACAUCUCCACCACCCUCGAUCCUAAAUAGGAAGCCGAGCUCACCCAAUUCCUCCGUGAGAACUGGGACAUCUUCGCAUGGAAGCCCACUGACAUGCCAGGUGUACCCUGGAAGUUGGCUGAGCACCGACUGCAUGUGGAUCCCGCCGCUCGGCCUGUCCGAGAACGCCUGCGUCGGUCCGCCGCGCACAAAAGGAAGGCAAUCGGAGAAGAGGUGGCUAAACUUUUGGCAGCCAACUUCAUUCGCGAGGUACACCACUCCGAGUGGCUCGCUAAUGUUGUCAUGGUGCCCAAGAAAGACAAGUCGCUCCGAAUGUGCAUCGACUUCAAGCAUCUAUAUAAGGUCUGCCCGAAAGACCAUUUUCCGCUCCCCCGCAUCGAUCAAAUUGUCGAUUCGACUGCGGGUUGCGAGCGGUUGUCAUUCCUUGAUGCCUACUCGGGCUAUCAUCAGAUCCGUCUGUAUGGCCCCGAUGAAUUAAAAAUAGCCUUCAUCACCCCAUUCGGGUGCUUCUGCUACAUCACUAUGCCAUUUGGUUUGAAGAAUGCAGGAACAACCUUUAUGCGCAUGAUCCAAAAAUGCCUCCUCGACCAGAUCGGUCGGAAUGUGGAGGCGUCUAUGGAUGAUAUCGUAGUCAAGUCACGCAAGGGUUCCGACCUGCUGACUGACUUGGCAGAAACAUUCGCCAACCUUCGUAGGUACGAUAUCAAGCUCAAUCUGGCCAAGUGUUCAUUCGGCGUUCCCAGCGGAAAGUUACUCGGUUUCUUCGUUUCCGAACGAGAGAUCGAUGUCAACCCCAAAAAGAUCGGUACCAUCGUCCGAAUGGAGCGGCCGGUCAGAAUACACGAUGUUCAAAGACUCACAAGUUGCCUAGCGGCUUUGAGCAGAUUUAUCAGUCGACUCGGCGAGAAGGCACUUCCUGUGUACCGACUCAUGAAGAAAUCAGAUACUUUCGAGUGGACAAACGAAGCCCAAAUCGCAUUCGACGACCUCAAAGUCCUACUUUCCACCCAGCCGGUUCUUACUGCUCCGCUCAGUAAAGAACCCCUUCUUAUAGUCGUCAGCACUGUUCUCACAGUCGAACAGGAAGAAGAAGGCAAAGCAUACAAGGUUCAGCGGCCAGUGUAUUAUGUCUCCGAAGUCCUGACUCCUUCCAAGCACAGGUAUCCCCAUUAUCAAAAACUUAUCUACGGGAUAUACAUGACUGCGAAGAAGGUGGCUCAUUAUUUUCAAGACCACACGGUGUCUGUCGUUUCUGAUGCCCGUUGUCAGAAAUCCUACACAAUCGGGACGCAUCGGGCCGAGUGGCGAAGUGGGCAAUGGAGAUGUUAUACUGUGACAUCAGGUUCGAGGCCAAGAAAGCUAUAAAGUUUCAAGCUCUGGCUGACUCCAUAGCAGAAUGGGUAGAACAACAGCAACCGACCCACAUCUACUCGGCUCAUUGGACAAUGUUCUUCGAUGGGUCCAAGAUGUUGAAUGGCUCUGGCGCUAGCGUUGUGAUCGUAUCGCCAAAGGGCGACAAACUCAAGUAUGUGUUGCAGAUACACUUUGAUUCCUCCAACAACGAGGCAGAGUAUGAAGCUCUCCUUUAUGGACUGCGCAUGGCCAUCGCACUCGGCGUCCGUCGCCUGAUGGUCUAUGGCGAUUCGGAUUUGGUGGUCAAUCAAGUGAUGAAGGAGUGGGACAUCAGGAAUCCCACCAUGACCACAUACUGCAAUGCAGUGAGGAAGCUCGAGAAAAAGUUUGAAGGUCUGGAACUUCACCAUGUUCCGCGACUGAAAAACAAAGCACCUGAUGAGUUGGCGAAACUCGGAUCCACUCGGAGACCAGUCGUGAGUGACGUCUGCCUCGAGCACCUCCACCUUCCCUCAGUUAAAGAAGAUCCCUUCACAGAGGAACCAGUACAACCAAAGAGCUCGACAGAUCCGAUUGAAGUCGAAGUCCCUGCUGUAGUUGAUUUGAUCAUGGAGGUUCUUGAUAUCAUCCCCGAGUGCACUGUGCCAUUCAUUGCAUACAUCCCGAGGCUUACCAGAAGACGAAGUCCAAGCCAGACAGAUCGUCCGCAGGUCAAAGUCGUUCACUGUCAUUGAUGGCCAGUUGUACAAGGAAAGCGUUUCAGGCGUCCUUCGACGAUGCAUCUCCCCUGAGGAGGGACAGUUGAUCCUGGAAGAAAUUCACUCGGGAACCUGCGGUCAUCACGCCUCCUCAAGAGCAAUCAUCGCCAAAGCAUUCAGAGCUGGCUUCUUUUGUCUGCAGGCGAAUGAAAUGGUGAAAGAUAUGGUCGAUCGAUGUGAAGGCUGUCAGUUCUACUCUAACAAGUCCCACAAACCAACGUCUGCGUUGAAGACAAUCCCUCUUGUUUGGCCAUUUGCAGUAUGGGGACUAGAUACAGUCGGUCCAUGCAGGACAGGCCAAGGGGGAUUCACUCAUCUGUUGGUGACAGUCGACAAGUUCACAAAGUGGAUUGAAGCCAAGCCCAUCAAAAAGCUCGACGCCCUUACGGCCAUCAAGUUUGUCAGGGACAUCAUCUCCAGAUUCGGGGUACCUCAGAGCAUAAUCACUGACAAUGGAACAAACUUUGACUCGGACAGAUUCAAAAGUUUUUGUACAUGCCAAGGUAUCCGAGUGGAUUUUGCAUCUGUGGCGCAUCCACAAACAAACGGGCAAGCAGAGCGGGCGAAUGGACUUAUUCUGCAAGGUUUGAAGCCUCGACUCCUGUGAGAAGUGGGGCAUGCCACCGGCGCAUGGGUCACCGAGCUGCCUUCGGUGCUUUGGGGUCUCCAUACAACCCCAAACAGAUCUACAGGGCGAUCCCCGUUCUUCCUCGUUUACGGAGCAGAGGUAGUCCUUCCGAGUGACUUGCUUCACAACGCUCCACGAGUUGAACUCUUCUCCGAAGCUGAAGCAGAGAAAGCAAGGCAAGACGGAGGGGAUCUUCUAGAGGAGGAGCGCGAGAUGGCACUGACUCGCUCAACCAUUUAUCAACAAGAUCUGCGGCGUUUUCACGCGCGACACGUCAAGAGUCACACAUUCCAAGCAGGCGACCUGGUGCUUCGAGUGGAUCAGCAGAGACCUCACAAGUUGGCCCCCGCCUAGGAAGGACCCUUCAUCAUAUCCAAGGUGCUGAACAACGGAGCUUAUCGACUCUACAACCUCGACAGGGAAACGGACGAGCCGCGAGCAUGUAACGGAGAUCUCUUGAAGCGCUUCUACACGUGACCGUCGACUGAAGCAAUGUAAAGAACAAGUAUCGUUGAAGUAAUACAAAGCAGAUUGAGUUUUUGCAGCUUCAAAAUUCUUCCGCGGUCGCAGACUCCGGUCUCAAAAAAAAACUUAGCUGCGAUCCAGAAUCACCUAAGUACAAACUUUCUCCGAGUGUGCACUAAACGUCGCACUCGGGGACUUAGCUGCGAUCAAGAAUCGCCUAAGUACAAACUUUCUCCGAGUGUGCACUAAACAUCGCACUCGGGGACUUAGCUGCGAUCAAGAAUCGCCUAAGUACAAACUUUCUCCGAGUGUGCACUAAACGUCGCACUCGGGGACUUAGCUGCGAUCAAGAAUCACCUAAGUACAAACUUUCUUCGAGUGUGCACUAAACGUCGUACUCGGGGACUUAGCUGCGAUCAAGAAUCGCCUAAGUACAAACUUUCUCUGAGUGUGCACUAAACGUCGCACUCGGGGACUUAGCUGCGAUCAAGAAUCGCCUAAGUACAAACCUUCUCCGAGUCCGCACUAAACGUCGCACUCGGGGACUUAGCUACGAUCAAGAAUCGCCUAAGUACAAACCUUCUCCGAGUGUGCACUAAACAUCGCACUCGGGGAGUUAGCUGCGAUCAAGAAUCUCCUAAGUACAAACCUUCUCCGAGUCUACACUAAACGUCGCACUCAGGGACUUAGCUGCGAUCAAGAAUCGCCUAAGUAGUAAGCUUCCUUUGAAUGUAUCUUACAGAUCCACUCGGAGGCUUAGCAGACCCUCAUUGAGGCUCAUGCAGAUGUCAAGACAACUGCCAAUUACAUGAGUAGCAGAACCUCAUUGAGGCUCAUGUAGAUGUCAAGACAACUAACAAAUACAUGAGUAACAACUCGCUCCGAGUAUGACCUUACAGUCGCACUCGAAGACUUAGCCGCGAUCACGAAUCGCCUAAGUACACAAUUGCCUUCGAGUGUAUCCUACAGAUCCACUCGGCGACCCAGCAGACCCUCAGUGAGGCUCAUGCAGAUGUCAAGACAACUGACAAUUACAUGCUCCGCAUGUUUGCCAUUGGCUUCACCAAGAAACGCCAAACAAAAACCACGAGCCAAAAUCGUGUCAGCAACUCUUUGGCAAAGGAAGAGCAAACGAUUCGAUUCAAAUUCAAAGUUCGUUUAAAGAUAGUUGGUUCGGUGUAGAUCAAGCUUAUCCACACCGAACCACAAAUGUGACGGCCAACAGAAGUGGCCAAAAUUUCAUACAACUAACACUCGGCAUACCGAGGUAAAAAGUUUUCUCAAGACUCAUCAGGACUGGCACUGGGACUGGCAGGCUCGACGAAAGUGUCGAGGUCGAUCCCGUGUGCGAUGCGAGUGGCGCUCUCAAGGAAGGUCUCCAUGAAAUCUUCGAAUCGAAGCUUCUUCGUGUUUGCGACAUGCAACGCCUUUAGCUUCUCUUCGCGAGCCUCCUUGCAGUGCACUCGGACCAGCGACAGCGCCACGUCCGCACCACAACGAGCCGCAGACUUCUUCCACGCCUGCACACGGUUCGGGACCUCCUCCACCCGACUCAUCAAACCUUCCAUCUCUUGCCGAGACUCGUCUUCGGGCCAUAGCUCCUUGUCGAUUCGGCUGACGACCUCUCUCAGUCGCCCGAUGAAAGGUCCCACCUUACCCAGGCGAAUGUGCGCUCGGAGCAUAUCUCGAUUGGCGUCGUCACUGAGUGGAACGUUCGGAAUAACCGACCGCUCCACGUCAGCUGCUUCAGCCUCAGCGUCCAUACAAAAAUCUGCAAAGACAAGACGAGCAACAAGUAAGCGCAGAAUGAACUACACGGUCAACAAACACUCGGAAAAACAGAACUUACCACCGAGAAGCGCAAUCAUCUGCCUUGCCCAGUCACUGACGUACUUCUCCUGUGCUAUGCACCGCCUGUUCAGCACCAGCAUCUGUCCCAUCAGUUCAGUUCUUUGUUUACCCAUCUUCUCCACUUCGGCAACCAAUGCCUUUUUUGCUUCACGGGACUCCUCCAAGGACUUCUCUCGUUCAGCCAGAACACCCUUCAUACCAGCCAAGGCAAGCAUUGCUGCAUCUAGUUCCGCAGCAAACUGAAUCUUUUCAGCUCUCAGAGUUUUGUACGCUGAUGCCAUCUCGCAAGUCUUCUGCAUGUCAGCGCGAAGAGACGAUCAGACAGAUUCAGCAAGGACAACAAUAUAAACUCAAAGUUCUUCAGACCCCUACCGACGCAAGCAGUCGACAGCGGUCUCGGGGACUACACCAAGUGGGUUCACUAAGAGUGACCCCACUGGCAUGACGCUCAAACAGGUCCGCCCUAUUGAGAUACAUAACAAAAAACAAGCCUAUGAGGCUACUACUACCCGACUUGAGUAAAAUUACUCUCGAGGACUAAUCCAGUAGGUGCACUCGGAAUGCCCCUACCAGUAACAUUCGAACAGAUUAGUUUUGAUCUGAUUGAGUUAAAAGAAAUUUUAUAUAAAGACAACUGCCGGUGCAAGCACUCGACAGAAGUCUCGGGGACAACACCCACUGGGUUCACUAAGAGUGAACCCACCGCAAACUAAACAUUCGGUAUCCGAGUAUCUGGCUUAAACACCCAGUGGGUUACAAGGGGAAAGAAAAUACUUACUAGCCCACUUACUCGGAUAUCGUCCCUGAGUACCAAGCUUCGCUUGUACACAGGCGCGAUGGAGUCGUACGCUCUCUUGGCAUCGCCUGCCAUCAACUCCGCCUGCACCAUGGCUUCCUUAGCAGCUCCCACCUGAUCCUCUGGGAGGCGUCGGGCGUCGUACUGGAGAGUCGACGGACCUGGCACCCCAAGAGACUCCUUGGGCAUCCCAAGUCCCGCUCCAGUUGGUUCAGCAACGAUGAGCGCCGUGUCAGUCGACGGCAUCGUCUCAGUUGGCGGCACUUCCAUGGCAGGAGUGGUAAUAGACGGAACGGCCUCAAUGACGGGCGCCACAGCUUGCUCGGACCUCUUCUGAUCGUCAUCCUCCACAUGGAUCACCUCUGAAGGAAGCCCGACCAAACGACGUGAGACCAUAGGAAAAAGGACAAGACCAAAGACGGAAUUCGCGAAAUAAUAAUGUAAGCUCUCGGAGUCGCCACGAUGUACCUUGCUGGGACGUGACAACAUUGUCCGUGUCCAUGGGAUCGUCUUCCUGGCGCGGCACAGAAGUGGUAGAGGUGGCAGCUCUGUCAAGUUAAAUUCAUUCGACCGAUAAGCAUGAGUUCAAUCAAAUACNAACAAUGCACUUACGCUGAGGCGACGGGAACGGCGAUCCUCAUCCGCGGCAAAGCCUUCCGAGGUUUAGAUCCACUCGGUUUGGCCACCUUAGAGGGUUGGCCCGCGGGCUCAGCAGCAGAGUCCCUGGUCCUCUUUGUGCUCCGAGCACUCGGAACCAUGGGAGAAGCUGACGAGGCCCCGUGUAGUGCCACAUGGCGUGGUGUCGAGCUUAGAGAGGCUGGAUACGCCGACCCAGAAAAACCUCCAGCAAGUCUAUGCCAGUGACCCCCUUUCGGACGACCUCUACAAGCUCAUCGACCAGAGGCUGGAUCUGGAUCUUCUCCAUCUUCGAGAGCGCGAGUUGCCUAGGCAGAGCCGUUCGGUCUAAGCUAAAAGGUGGUAGUCCAGUGGUCGCAUUCGGGCUAGCAACGUCUUGGCAGUAAAACCAAGUCGACUGCCAGUUCCUAACGGAUUCAGACAGCUGGAGAGCGGGAUAGCUACUUUUACUUUUCUUUUGGAAGCCUAAGCCUCCGCAGAGCUGGAGGAGGUGAGUUUUGUCAUCCGACUGGUUCAGCCUUUUUAUGGUUUGAGAUCUAGCAGAGAAGAUGUUCUUAAAAAGCCCCCAAUGGGGAGGAGAGCCGAUAAAGCACUCGCACAGCACGACGAAGGCAGAGAGAUGAGCUAUCACGUUAGGAGGAAAAUGGUGGAGCUGCGCCCCGAAGUGGUUCAAGAUACCUCUGAAGAAGGGAUGAGGAGGCAGAGAGACGCCUCGGUGCACGUGGCUGAGCAACAAGACGUGCUCCCCCUCCUGGGGCGCCGGCUCGGUCUCGCCCUCCGCCGGCAACCUCCACGUCUUGUGCUCGAUCAUGCCGUGCUCCACCAGCUCCAGCAUGUCCUCCUCCGUCACCAUGGAGGGGAGGAAGUCCUCCUGGAUCCAACCCGCCGGCAGUGCUCGCUGCCGCCGCUGAGCAGGAGCCGCCGCCUUCCCCUUCUUCUUCCGCGCCUCAAGCUUGCUCGUCUGCCCCUUUGUCAUGGUGGAGGCUGCACACCCGCGGGGGAGAAGGAGAAGGAAAGAGCUUGAGAUGCGCAGGAGGUGGCGAGAGAAGCGGGGCAAGUGCGAGCUAUCAAUUGAGCGCAACGAAAAACCCUCGCUGUAGAGGUUUAAAUAAGGUUCCGAUUGGGUCACUAGUAGGUGGCCCCGAAAUCUUAUCCCCCGACCGGUCGCUGCGAUAUUAGUGGAAGAGAUGAAGGCGCAGAAAUCGAGGCAGCAGAUACUACUCGAUUGCGAUGUCGUCACCCCCGCCGAGCGCGUGGCAACCGAAAUUUGAGGAUCCCGAAAGAUCCGCCGCUGUCAGUUGACCGGUCACAUCAAAAGAUACCACGGAAGCACUCGGUCCCUGACGGUUCGUUUCACAAAUACAUCCACUCGGAUCACUGGUCAAGAAGAUAAAAUGCAUCGAGGCAAACAACGCCAAAGUCGCAUCCGUACCAGUCGGAUCCGUACUCCAAGCAUCGCUUGGUCGUUCCAACCCCAAUCCAUUUCGGGGACUAAUGAUGGGGUUAUAGUCCUAGGGUAGGGUCAUAGGCCUGCCCUGUGGGGCCUACCCAAGGACUACCCUUCAUGAAGGAUAAGGCUCUUAGUCAGUUCCGACUGAAUUAAGGACUUCCCAUCAUCCAGUCGGUGACGAUUCCUCUAUCAUCCAGUCGGAGAUGAGCAUUCGGAGCGUAUCAAGCUUACCGACUGGAUUCCACUCUGUACAUCGUAACCCCCGUGGAGGGCAACAGUCAUACGUUUCCAUAUACCUUUAUUAGCAUUUAAGACAUACGUUACCUGUAACGUAUGCAGUUAUUCACCACUACUCCACCCCUGCGCACCGAACCGUUGUGAAGGGUAGCGCACUCUAUAUAAGCCGCCCUUCCCCACUGGUGCAGGGGUUAGCAAUUCACUGUAAUCCAUAUUCCACUCGACAACAAGCUCCCAAGAGCACUGAGACGUAGGGCUUUUACCUCCACCGUAGAGGGGCCUGAACUCAUACAACCUCGCCGUAGCUAAGGCUCUGCCCAUCCUUUCAUACCCUACACAUCUACUGUCAGGCUUAUACCCACGACAGUAAGGCUUUGUCACAAAUUCAACUCCAUUUGCAUAAUAAUAUUUUGCAGGAACUUUUAAGUGAGAAAACUAUCGCCGCUCUAUGGUUAAAGCUGGAAGGGAUUUGCAUGACAAAAGAUCUCACCAGCAAGAUGCAUUUGAAGCAAAAAAUAUUCAUGCACAGGUUACCCGAGGGAGGUAAUGUUUUGACUUAUAUUUCAGAAUUUAAAGAGAUCAUAUCCGAUCUAGCCGCAAUCGAGGUUACGUAUGAUGAAGAAGAUACUGCUUUAAUGUUACUUUGUUCGCUGCCAAGUUCUUAUACCAAUUUUCGAGACACCAUAUUAUAUAGUCGUGAUACUCUCACGCUAAAUGAAGUUUAUGAAGCUUUGAACUCUAAGGAGAAGAUGAAAUUAAUGGUGCCUCAUGAUGGUUCAAGUUCAUCCCAAGCCGAGGGAUUAUCUGUUCGUGGCAGGACAAAGGAGAAGAACUCACAUAAUGGAAACCGUGGCAAAAGUAAGAACGGCCAGAGGGGCCGGUCACAAUCCAGAGACAAGAAGCAGUCUUGCAGGUAUUGCAAGAGAGACGGGCAUGAUAUCUCAGAAUGUUUCAAGUUGAAGAACAAGGAAAAGAGGAAUGGUACGUAUAAACCGAAAGGUAACAAACAAGGUGAAAAUUCUGCUAAUGUUGCUCGUGAUGAAAGUUUCGAUGAUGCUCUUGUUGUUAUUGUUGGAUGUGCUGAGACCAAUGAUGGGAGGGUACUUGACACUGCGUGUACUUUUCAUAUGUGCCCGCAUAGAGAUUGGUUUACUACUUUUGAUUCUACUACUACUGCUGGUUCCGUUUUGGGUUUUGAUAAUUCACCAUGCAAGAUUGAAGGCAUAGCUUUCGAAUCAAGAUGUUUAAUGGCACAAUCAGAACUUUGACAAAUGUUCGGUAUAUUCUGAAGAUGAAGAGAAAUCUUAUCUCUGUGAGUGCCCUUGAUGCAAAGGGCUACAAGUAUUCAGGUGGAGAUAGCGUUUUGAAGGUCACCAAAGGUUCUCUCAUUGUGAUGCAAGGUGACUUAAGUUCGAUGAAUGGUCUUUAUUACCUUCGAAGUUCUACCGUUUCAGGUAACGCUACUCAAGUUAUUUCAAAGAAUUCUGGUUGUGAUGCUUCUAACCUUUGGCAUAUGCGUCUUGGACAUAUGAGUGAACUUGGUUUGGCAGAGUUAAAUAAGAGAGGUCUUCUCAAAGGAUACCAAACUGGUAUAUUGAAAUUUUGUGAGCAUUGUAUCUUCGGCAAGCACAAGAGGGUGAAGUUCAACACUUCCACUCAUACAACUGAAGGUAUUCUUGAUUAUGUGCAUUCUGAUUUAUGGGGACCAUCUCGCAAAAAGUCACUAGGUGGUGCUAGUUACAUGUUGACUAUUAUUGAUGAUUAUUCGAGAAAGGUUUGGCCUUAUUUCUUGAAGCAUAAAUGGCAAGCUUUCUCAGCUUUUAAGGAGUGGGAGAUUAUGAUUGAGAGACAAACUGAAAAGAAGGUAAAAAUACUUCGCACUGAUAAUGGUAUGGAAUUCUGUUAUAAGCAAUUUAGGAAUUAUUGCAAGUCUGAAGGCAUUGUCAGACACCACCGUUCCUUAUACUCCUCAACAAAACGGUGUUGCUGAGCGUAUGAACAUGACCAUUAUUUCCAGAGCCCGUUGCAUGUUGUCCAAUGCAGGUUUGCAUACGCGUUUUUGGGCUGAGGCCGUUUCCACUAGUUGUUAUCUCAUCAACCGUUCACCAUCUAUUCCUCUUAAUAAGAAAACUCCAAUUGAGGUAUGGUCUGGUUCACCUGUUGAUUAUUCACAGUUGAGAGUUUUUGGUUGCACUGCUUAUGCUCAUGUUGAUAAUGGGAAGUUGGAGCCUAGGGCUGUUAAGUGCAUCUUUCUUGGUUACAAAUCUGGUGUUAAAGGUUUUAAACUGUGGAAUCCUGAAACACAAAAGAUUGUUAUUAGCAGAAAUGUUAUCUUUAAUGAAUCUGCUAUGUUACAUGAUGUUCCAUCUACUAAUGUUCCUCUUGAGAGUGAACAACAGUCUACUGUUCAGCAGCCUAUUGUUCAGGUGGAGCAUGUUAUCGAUUCAGGUGAUACUUGUGAUAAGGAAAAUGUUGAUGCACGUGAUGAACCCGUCUUUGAUGAUGAACAUGUCACUCCAAAUCAGCCUAUUGUUCCACCCAGUUGGAAUCUUGCUCAUGACAGAGUUAGGCGGGGUAUUAAUGCACCUGAAAGGUUAAUUGAGGAGUGCAAUAUUGUUUCUUUUGCUUUAUCUGUUGCAGAAGAAAUUAAAGGUAAUGUUGAGCCUUCUUCAUAUUCUGAGGCUAUUAUUUCUGGUGAUAGUAAUAAGUAGAUGACUGCUAUGCAUGAUGAGAUGGAAUCACUUGAAAAGAAUGGCACUUGGGAUUUAGUAAGAUUACCUGGAGAGAAGAAACCUAUUCGUUGAAAGUGGGUUUUCAAAAUAAAGGAAGGUGUUUCUCCUAAUGAUGAGGCAAGAUAUAAAGCAAGGUUGGUUGCUAAAGGUUAUAGCCAAAUUCCAGGUAUUGUCUAUAACGAAGUCUUUUCUCCUGUUGUGAAGCAUAGCUCUAUUCGCACUUUACUUAGUAUUGUUGCCAUGAAUGAUUUUGAGCUUGAACAAUUGGAUGUUAAAACUGCAUUCUUACAUGGAUAAUUAGAAGAGGAUAUUUAUAUGGAACGACAUGAAGGUUUUGUUAUUCCUGGAAAAGAAAAACUUGUCUGUAAGUUAAAGAAAUCUCUUUAUGGAUUGAAGCAAUCCCCUCGACAGUGGUACAAGAGAUUUGACACCUUUAUGCUCUCUCAAGGUUUCAAUCGGUCUAAUUAUGAUAGUUGUGUUUAUUUGAAAACUGUCAAUGGUUCAGCUAUUUAUUUGCUCCUUUAUGUUGAUGAUAUGUUAAUUGCUGCAAAUAGCAUGUCAGAGAUUGAUGAACUAAAGAAGCAAUUGAGUAAUAAAUUUGAGAUGAAGGAUUUGGGUGCAGCAAAGAAAAUACUUGGCAUGGAAAUAUCCAGAGAUAGACCAUUUGGAAAAUUAUAUCUCAGUUAGAAGGGUUAUAUUGAUAAAGUUCUUCAUCGUUUUAAUAUGCAUAAUGCCAAGACAGUAAGUACUUCGUUAGCUGCGCACUUCAAAUUAUCAUCAGCCUUAUGUCCUGAGUCAGAUGCAGAUAUUGAGUACAUGUCUAGAGUUCCCUAUUCGAGUGCAGUUGGUUCACUUAUGUAUGCCAUGGUUUGUUCUCGUCCGGAUUUAUCUUAUGCGCUGAGUGUUGUUAGUAGAUACAUGGCUAAUCCUGGAAAAGAGCAUUGGAAAGCAGUUCAGUGGAUUUUUAGAUACCUGCGAGGUACUUCUAAUGCUUAUUUACAGUUUGGGAAAACUGGAGAUGGACUUGUUGGUUUUGUCGAUUCUGAUUUUGAUGGUGAUUUGGAUAGGAGAAUAUCGCUCACAGGUUAUGUUAUCACCAUUGGUGGUUGUUUUGCGAGUUGGAGAGCAACUUUGCAGUCUAUUGUGGCUUGUUCCACUACUGAUGCCGAGUAUAUGGCUAUUUCUGAGGCAUGCAAAGAAGCUAUCUGGUUGAGAGGUUUGUACACUGAGCUUUGUGGAGAUUCAUCUUGCCCUACCAUAUUUUCUGACAGUCAAAGUGCUAUAUAUCUUACAAAGAAUCCAAUGUAUCACGAGAGAACAAAACACAUUGAUGUCAGAUUUCACUAUGUUCGAGAUGUUGUUGCUAAAGGUGAUUUGAAGGUAUGCAAGAUAAAUACUCAUGAUAAUCCAGCUCAUAUGAUGACAAAGCCAGUUCCUACCAAUAAGUUUGAGCUUUGCUCAAGCUUAGUUGGUAUUUCUCACUAGUUCGAUGGACUUUGACGCACAAGGUGUUUAUGCUGAUUUGGAUGGAGUUAUUCACUUUCUUCGACUACUGGAGGGAAUUUAGCUCAAGGUGGAGAUUGUUAAAUUAUGAUCCAAAUUCUACCGUAUUGGACUAGACGUAGUACAAACGGUGUGGGCCUUUGCGUUGGUACCGACGCAUACGAGUACAACUCGUUUACUUGUCCUCCAAGGACUCUCAUAUAUUUCCCCUCAUAUAUACUCCAUGUAGUCGCACCUAAAGACGGCAUGUCGUCUCAUGCUUGUAAUACUCCACCCUCAUAAUGAUUGCGCCUUCGUGCGUCCGUGGUUUUCUCCUGCAAGGGUUUCCACGUAAAAAUCCGUGUCUCUCGUGCCUCGUUAAUCUCGUUUUAUCUAACAGCCAAUUCACUAUUGUGGAUACGGAAAAGGAUACUUCUCUGUCCCUCCGCUCACGCCCCCAUCCGACUCCUCCCAAGCGGUUCGGGGGAAACCCAUAGCUGCCGCUAGCAGGUCAACCCCUCCAGCGCCCCAUCUCCUCCACCAUCAUCUUCGUCCUAGCUGAGGUGGCAACAACCCCCAGUUUCCAAAGGAGGCUCAGGGAGAGCAAAUGGUCGUGGUGGAUGCUCAUGCUCCUACUACUGGGAUGGGAGGGGGAAAAUAUAUGGUGCACCGGAGCUUGUGGUGCUACCGGUGCGCCGAACUUACAUUGUGCUUUUCAAAUGUUUGAAACAAUUUGAAAAAAUAGCACAUUCAUAGAACAUUAAUGUAGGUUGUCACAAAAUUUGAAGUCAAAAUUCGAAACAUAACUUGACAAAUAAAAAUGACAAAUUCAAUACUGAAUAGUACACAAGAUAACUGGGCUUUAGAUUCGGCCCAUUAUCACACCAAUGUCAAAUUUUUUAUUUUCAUAUCUUAAAAAAUAUUUUAAAUUUUUAUACGAAUUUUUGUGACAUCAUACAUUGAUGUUGCGCUAACAUGCUAGAUUUUGUUCACAAUGUUUAAAACGUUUGGUGCACCAGUAGCACAACAAGUACAGAUGCACCCGAUACAUUCCCAUGGGCGGUCUCGCAUGUCCCGUUCGCAAUGACUACUCCCCAUGCGUGGGUGCCUCCCCUCAGCAGCGGAUAUGACACCCACACCUAGAUCCGGGUUGAUCCGCGGGAUGCGCGUUCCUCUACCUCUCGAUGUCUGCGCGCCAAGGAAGGUGGUCUCCAUUGGUCCUGCUGUGCUGCUGCUGCUCGGAUCUGCUGUUAUGGCUCUAGAUCAGGUCGUUCCUGGUUCAUGGUGAGUACGAAUGUCGACCACAGAGGCUCCGGGCAGUGGAGGUUGGUGUUCGGUGCUCUAGUCAUGUGGAUGGCAGGCCACAGGUUGGUGGUCGACCGGUUGCAAUGCCUCUGUUUCUAAUGUUGUGCCCCCGGGAUCCUUUUGCACUCUGGUUGAAAUUCCAGCACCUUCUCUUUUGUUAAACAACAUGUAAUCUACGGUGUUUGUAUAAACCGUAUAUGUACGGUUUAAGUUGCCGGGUUGUUGGCUGUUGAGAUAGAAUCCUUGUGGAUCAAUCCGCCCAACAAACCAUGUAAAUCUUACAUGUAAUCUCGAUGCCUAUAUAACACGCAACGCGUCCCUGCAACAAGCAUACACUUAACCUAUGUUUUUCUACAUGGUAUACAAAGCUAUUUUCUUCCAUCGCACCUAGGGUACAUGUCUUCGUCCUCCUCCUCCAUCGCCAUGGUGUCCCCUCCCUUGCUACGCUAGGCCACACCAUCACAAACAAGCUGGACCGUGAAAACUUCCUCAUAUGGAGGGUAUAGGUGCUGCCCCAUCCAAGGGCCGCUGGCAUGAUGGGGUUUCUUGAUGGCUCGAUCAAGGAACCAGCUGUCGAGCUCCUCCUGGAGAAGGAAAUCUCUGGAAAGAAGGAAACUAGCCUCGUUCCCAACCCCGAGCAUGUUGUCUGGGUCUCGCAAGAUCAGCAGGUAUUGACCUUUCUGCAAGCGUCGCUCUCCCGCGAAGUUUUGCUUCAUGUGAGCAAGUGCACCACCGCCACCACCGCUUGGACUGCUCUGCUGCAAAGUUUUUCCUCACAAUCUGUGCUAGAAUCAUUCAGCUUCAAUCCCAGAUUGAUAGCACCCGAAAGGGGGACCUCUCUGCCGUUGUUUACUUCACAAAGAUGAAGGGCCUUGCAGAUGAGCUAGCUGCUGCCGAAAGCCUCUGGAGGAAGAAGACGUAGUCUCUCAUAUCCUCGAGGGACUCAUGCACGAACCGGAGUACAACGGGUUCGUGACCACAAUCUCUACGUAGACCAUCACUGACCAACCCAUCAGCCUCGGUGAGCUCUUCUCGCUUCUACUUGUUGUCGAGGCGCGCAUCACCGCUCAGACGACCGCCUACUCUGCCAACCUCGCCACUAAGGGCGGCGUCCGCGGCGGCUCUGGCGGUGGAAAUUAAAACUCCGGCAGCAACGACGGUUUCCGUGGCUACAACAACAACACCAACACGGGAACCCGCUUCUCCGACAACUCCUCUGGUGGCUUUGGUGGUGACCACGCGCGGUCGUGACCAUGGUGGCCGCGGCGACCAAAAACGUGAGAAGUGCCAGAUCUGCAAGCAGCUUGGACACGGUGUGUGGCGUUGUAAGAUGCGUUAUGAUCGUGGCUACAACAACAACGUGUGCAAUCCCGCGAGAAGUGGUGGCUGACAUCGCUCCUAUGGAGUUGAUACCAAUUGGUAUCUCGACACCGGUCCAACAGAUCAUGUGACCAGAGAAGUAGAGAAGCUUGUCAUCCGUGAUCGGCACACGGGCACGGAACCAAUCCACACUACGAGUGGUCAAGGUAUGAACAUUGCACAUGUUGGUCAUUAAGUUCUAUCUACUCCCUAUGGCUCCCUAGAUCUUAGUAACAUCCUUCAUGCUCCCCAAGCUAAUAAGAGUCUUCUAUCUGCUUACCAACUUAUGAUUGAUAAUCAUGCCUUUCUUGAAUUUACCCUGAAAUUGUUUUUGUUAAGGAUCAGGAAACUUGGAGAACCAUUCUACAAAGCAAGAGUAGGGGUGGGCUCUUUCCUGUCCAUGGCCACCAAGAGGUGCCGCAUCGUCAAGUCCUUGGCAUGAUAAAGCCAUCCACCUCACGGUGACAUAGACAUCUAGGGCAUCCUACCUUACCUGUGGUCCAAAAUAUUCUGUUAGAUUUUUCCCUUCCAUUUUCCAAUAAAAAGGAUCAUUUUAUAGUAUGUGAUUCUUGCCAAAUGGCCAAGAGCCAUCAGCUUCCUUUCUCUCGAUCUAGUAGUGAGUCAAAACCUCCUUUAGAGCUUGUUUUUCGGAUGUGUGGGGUCCUGGGGUCCUGGACCUGUCUCUGUUGGCAGACAGAAGUAUUAUGUGAGUUUCAUUGAUGAUUUUAGCAAAUUCAGUUGGAUAUACUUGCUCAAAAAUAAGUCCAAUGUCUUUGAGAAGUUUCAUAAUUUUUAGCAACAUGUUGAACGCCUCUUUGAUCGCAAAAUUCUUACUAUGCAAACUGACUGGGGUGGUGAGUACGAAAAACUCAUUCCUUUUUUGAGCGAAUUGGCAUCAUCCACCAUGAUUCAUGUCCACAUACACAUCAUCAAAAUGCUUCUGCCAAACAUAAACAUAGAAAUAUUUUCAAAGUUGGUCUAUCCUUCCUUGCUCAUGCUUUUAUGCCACUAAAAUUUUGGAAGGAGGCAUUCCUUGUUGGAAUUAUGCCCUAGAGGCAAUAAUAAAUAUAGUUAUUAUUAUAAUUCCUGUAUCAAGAUAAUCGUUUAUCAUCCAUGCUAUAAUUGUAUUGAAUGAAGACUUAUAUACAUGUGUGGAUACAUAGACAAAACACUGUCCCUAGCAAGCCUCUAGUUGGCUAGCCAGUUGAUCAAAGAUAAUCAGUGUCUUCUGAUUAUGAACAAGGUGUUGUUGCUUGAUAACUGGAUCACGUCAUUAGGAGAAUCACGUGAUGGACUAGACCCAAACUAAUAGACGUAGCAUGUUGAUCGUGUCAUUUUGUUGCUACUGUUUUCUGCGUGUCAAGUAUUUGUUCCUAUGACCAUGAGAUCAUAUAACUCACUGACACCGGAGGAAUACUUUGUGUGUAUCAAACGUCGCAACGUAACUGGGUGACUGUAAAGAUGCUCUACAGGUAUCUCCGAAGGUGUUCGUUGAGUUAGUAUGGAUCGAGACUGGGAUUUGUCACUCCGUGUGACGGAGAGGUAUCUCGGGGCCCACUCGGUAAUACAACAUCACACACAAGCCUUGCAAGCAAUGUGACUUAGUGUAAGUUACGGGAUCUUGUAUUACGGUACGAGUAAAGAGACUUGCCGGUAAAAGAGAUUGAAAUAGGUAUGCGGAUACUGACGAUCGAAUCUAUGGCAAGUAGCAUACCGAAGGACAAAGGGAAUGACAUACGGGAUUAUAUGAAUCCUUGGCACUGAGGUUCAAACGAUAAGAUCUUCGUAGAAUAUGUAGGAUCCAAUAUGGGCAUCCAGGUCCCGCUAUUGGAUAUUGACCGAGGAGUCUCUCGGGUCAUGUCUACAUAGUUCUCGAACCCGCAGGGUCUGCACACUUAAGGUUCGACGUUGUUUUAUGCGUAUUUGAGUUAUAUGGUUGGUUACCGAAUGUUGUUCGGAGUCCCGGAUGAGAUCAUGGACGUCACGAGGGUUUCCGGAAUAGGUCCGGAAAUGAAGAUUGAUAUAUAGGAUGACCUCAUUUGAUUAUCGGAAGGUUUUCAGAGUUAUCGGGAAUGUACCGGGAAUGACGAAUGGGUUCCGGGUGUUCACCGGGGGGGGCAACCCACCCCGGGGAAGCCCAUAGGCCUUGGGGGUGGCGCACCAGCCCUUAGUGGGCUGGUGGGACAGCCCAAGAAAGCCCUAUGCGCCAUAGGAAGAAAAAUCAAAGAGAAAAAAAAGGAGGAGGUGGGAAAAGGGGGAAGGACUCCUCCUUCCAAACCUAGUUGGACUCGGUUGGAAGGGGAGGGUUGCCCCCUAGGCUCGGCCGACCCCCUUGGGAGUCCUUGGACCCAAAGGCAAGGCUCCCCCUCCUCCCCCUAUAUAUACGGAGGUUUUAGGGCUGAUUUGACACAACUUUGCCACGGCAGCCCGACCACAUAUCUCCACGGUUUUACCUCUAGAUCGCGUUUCUGCGGAGCUCGGGCGAAGCCCUGCUGAGACAAGAUCAUCACCAACCUCCAGAGCGCCGUCACGCUGCCGGAGAACUCUUCUACCUCUCCGUCUCUCUUGCUGGAUCAAGAAGGCCGAGAUCAUCGUCGAGCUCUACGUGUGCUGAACGCGGAGGUGCCGUCCGUUCGGCACUAGAUCGUGGGACUGAUCGCGGGACGGUUCGCGGGGCGGAUCGAGGGACGUGAGGACGUUCCACUACAUCAACCGCGUUCACUAACGCUUCUGCUGUACGGUCUACAAGGGUACGUAGAUCAAACAUCCCCUCUCGUAGAUGGACAUCACCAUGAUAGGUCUUCGUGCGCGUAGGAAAUUUUUUGUUUCCCAUGCGACGUUCCCCAACAGUGGCAUCAUGAGCUAGGUGUAUGCGUAGAUGUCUUCUCGAGUAGGACACAAAAGUUUUUGUGGGCGAUGAUGUGCGUUUUGCUGCCCUCCUUAGUGUUUUCUUGAUUCCGCGGUAUUGUUGGAUUGAAGCGGCUUGGACCGACAUUACUCGUACGCUUACGAGAGACUGGUUUCAUCGCUACGAGUAACCCCGUUGCUCAAAGAUGACUGGCAACUGUCAGUUUCUUCAACUUUAGUUGAAUCGGAUUUGACCGAGGAGGUCCUUGGAUGAGGUUCAAUAGCAACUCAUAUAUCUCCGUUGUGGUGUUUGCGUAAGUAAGAUGCGAUCCUACUAGAUACCCAUGGUCACCACGUAAAACAUGCAACAACAAAAUUAGAGGACGUCUAACUUGUUUUUGCAGGGUAUGCUUGUGAUGUGAUAUGGCCAACGAUGUGAUGUGAUAUAUUGGAUGUAUGAGAUGAUCAUGUUGUAAUAGAUAAUAUCGACUUGCACGUCAAUGGUACGGCAACCGGCAGGAGCCAUAGGGUUGUCUUUAUACUAACGUUUCUGCUUGCAGAUGCGUUUACUAUUUUGCUAGGAUGUAGCUUUAGUAGUAAUAGCAUGAGUAGCACGACAACCCCGAUGGCGACACGUUGAUGGAGAUCAUGGUGUGGCGCCGGUGACAAGAAGAUCGUGCCGGUGCUUUGGUGAUGGAGAUCAAGGAGCACGUGAUGAUGGCCAUAUCAUGUCACUUAUGAAUUGCAUGUGAUGUUAAUCCUUUUAUGCACCUUAUUUUGCUUAGAACGACGGUAGCAUUAUGAGGUGAUCUCUCACUAAAAAUUUCAAGACGAAAUUGUGUUCUCCCCGACUGUGCACCGUUGCUACAGUUCGUCGUUUCGAGACACCACGUGAUGAUCGGGUGUGAUAGACUCAACGUUCACAUACAACGGGUGCAAAACAAUUGCGCACGCGGAACACUCAGGUUAAGCUUGACGAGCCUAGCAUGUGCAGACAUGGCCUUGGAACACAUGAGACCGAAAGGUCGAUCAUGAAUCAUAUAGAUGAUAUGAUUAGCAUAGGGAUGCUUACCACUGAAACUAUACUCAACUCACGUGAUGAUCGGACUUGAGCUUGUGUAAGUGGAUCAUGAACCACUCAAAUGACUAGAGAGAUGUACUUUUUGAGUGGGAGUUUAGCGAAUAAUUUGAUUAAGUUAAACUCUAAUUAUCUUGAACAUGGUCUAAGUCCACUUUGAAAAUAUUUGUGUUGUAGAUCAUGGCUCACGCGACAGUCACCCUGAAUUUUAAUACGUUCCUAGAGAAAGCUAAGUUGAAAGAUGAUGGAAGAAACUUUGUAGACUGGGCUCGUAAUCUUAAGCUAAUCUUACAAGCUGGGAAGAAGGAUUAUGUCCUUAAUGCUGCGCUAGGAGAUGAACCACCCGCUACGGCUGAUCAGGAUGUUAAGAACGCUUGGUUAGCACGUAAGGAGGACUACUCAGUAGUUCAAUGUGCAGUCUUGUAUGGCUUAGAACCGGGACUUCAACGUCGCUUUGAGAGUCAUGGAGCAUUUGAGAUGUUCCAGGAGUUGAAGUUUAUCUUUCAGAAGAACGCCCGGAUCGAGAGGUAUGAGACCUCCGAUAAAUUCUAUGCUUGCAAGAUGGAGGAGAACUCGUCUGUCAGUGAACAUGUGCUCAAAAUGUCUGGGUACUCAAACCGUCUAGCUGAGCUGGGGAUUGAACUCCCGCAAGAAGCUAUCACUGACAGAAUCCUUCAAUCACUGCCGCCAAGCUAUAAAGGCUUUGUGUUGAACUACAACAUGCAAGGGAUGAACAAGUCUCCCAGCGAGUUGUUUGCGAUGCUGAAAGUCGCAGAGUCUGAACUCCGUAAAGAGCAUCAAGUGUUGAUGAUGAAUAAGACCACUAGUUUCAAGAGAAAGGCAAAGGCAAGAAGGGUAAUUCAAAGAAGAGCGGCAAGCCUGUUGCCAAUCCGACGAAGAAACCCAAAGCUGGACCUAAGCCUGAAACAGAGUGUUACUGUUGCAAGGGUAUGGGUCAUUGGAAGCGCAAUUGCCCCAAGUAUCUGGCUGAUAAGAAGGCGGUCAAAGAAAAAUCAGGUAUAUUUGAUAUACAUGUUAUUGAUGUGUACUUAACCGGCUCUCGUAGUAGUGUCUGGGUAUUCGAUACCGGUUCUGUUGCUCAUAUUUGCAACUCGAAACAGGAACUGCGGAAUAGACGAAGGCUAGCGAAAGAUGAAGUGACGAUGCGCGUAGGAAAUGGUUCCAAGGUUGAUGCAAUCGCCGUCGGCACAGUUUCACUUCAGUUACCAUCAGGAUUAGUUCUGAACUUGAAUCAUUGUUAUUUAGUGCCUGCGUUGAGCAUGAACAUUAUAUCUGGAUCUUGUUUAUUGCGAGACGGUUACUCUUUUAAGUCAGAGAAUAAUGGUUGUUCUAUUUCUAUGAGUAACAUCUUUUAUGGUCAUGCACCCAACGUGAGAGGAUUGUUCAUAUUGAAUCUUGAUAGUGAUACACACAUACAUAACAUUGAGACCAAAAGAGUUAGAGUUAACAAUGAUUGCGCCAUAUUUUUUUGGCACUGCCGCUUAGGUCAUAUUGGUGUAAAACGCAUGAAGAAACUCCAUGCCGAUGGACUUUUGGAGUCACUUGACUUUGAUUCACUUGACACAUGCGAACCAUGCCUCAUGGGCAAGAUGACUAAAACUCCGUUCUCCGGAACAAUGGAGCGUGCAAGUGACUUGUUGGAAAUCAUACAUACCGAUGUGUGCGGUCCGAUGAGCGUGGAGGCACGCGGCGGAUAUCGUUAUUUUCUCACCUUCACUGACGAUUUGAGUAGAUAUGGUUAUGUCUACUUAAUGAAGCACAAGUCUGAAACAUUUGAAAAGUUCAAGGAAUUUCAGAGUGAAGUUGAAAAUUAUCGUAACAAGAAGAUCAAGUUCCUACGGUCUGAUCGUGGGGGUGAAUAUCUGAGUUUCGAGUUUGGUGCUCACUUAAGACAAUGUGGAAUUGUUUCACAGUUGACACCGCCUGGAACACCACAGCGUAAUGGUGUGUCCGAACGUCGUAAUCGUACUUUAUUAGAGAGGUGCGAUCUAUGAUGUCUCUUACCGAUUUGCCGUUAUCGUUUUGGGGUUAUGCAUUAGAAACAACUGCAUUCACUUUAAAUAGGGCACCAUCAAAAUCCGUUGAGACGACACCAUAUGAACUGUGGUAUGGAAAAAGGCCAAAGUUGUCGUUUCUUAAAGUUUGGGGAUGUGAUGCUUAUGUCAAAAAUCUUCAGCCUGAAAAACUGGAACCCAAAGCGGAAAAGUGCAUCUUCAUAGGGUACCCAAAAGAGACAGUUGGGUACACCUUCUAUCUCAAAUCCGAGGCAAAGUGUUUGUUGCUAAAAACGGAGCUUUUCUCGAGAAGGAGUUUCUCUCCAGAGAAUUGAGUGGGAGGAAGAUAGAACUUGAUGAGGUUGUCGAACCUCUCAUCCCUCUAGAUGGUGGCGCAGGGCAAGGGGAAACCUCUGUCGUUGCGACGCCGGUUGAGGAGGAAGUUAAUGAUGAUGAUCAUGAAACUCCAGUUCAAGUUUCUGUCGAACCACGCAGGUCAACGAGACCACGUGCUGCUCCAGAGUGGUACGGUAAUCCCGUCUUGUCAAUCAUGUUGUUAGACAACAAUGAACCUGCAAAUUAUGAAGAAGCGAUGGUGGGCCCAGAUUCCAACAAAUGGCUAGAAGCCAUGAAGUCCGAGAUAGGAUCCAUGUAUGAGAACAAAGUGUGGACUUUGGAAGUACUACCUGAGGGUCGCAAGGCUAUUCAGAACAAAAGGAUCUUUAAGAGGAAGACGGACGCUGACGGCAAUGUGACCGUUUAUAAAGCUCGACUUGUGGCAAAGGGUUUUUCACAAGUUCAAGGAGUUGACUACGAUGAGACAUUCUCACCCGUAUGGAUUCUUAAGUCCGUCAGAAUCAUGUUAGCAAUAGCUGCAUUUUUCGAUUAUGAAAUCUGGCAAAUGGAUGUCAAAACGGCGUUCCUUAACGGUUUCCUUAAGGAAGAGUUGUAUAUGAUGCAACCCGAAGGUUUUGUCGAUCAUAAGAAUGCUAACAAGGUGUGCAAGCUCCAGCGAUCCAUUUAUGGACUGGUGCAAGCAUCUCGGAGUUGGAACAAACGUUUUGAUGAGGUGAUCAAAGCAUUUGGGUUUAUACAAGUGGUUGGAGAAUCUUGUAUUUACAAGAAAGUGAGUGGGAGCUUUGUGGCGUUUCUAAUAUUAUAUGUGGAUGACAUAUUGCUGAUUGGAAACAACGUAGAGUUUUUGGAGAGCAUAAAGGAUUACUUGAAUAAAAGUUUCUCUAUGAAGGACCUAGGAGAAGCUGCUUACAUUCUAGGCAUUAAGAUCUACAGGGAUAGAUCAAAACGCCUGAUAGGACUUUCACAAAGCAUAUACCUUGAUAAAGUUUUGAAGAGGUUCAAAAUGGAACAGUCCAAGAAAGGGUUCUUGCCAGUUUUACAAGGUACGAGAUUGAGUAAGACUCAGUGCCCAGCAACUGAUGAGGAUAGAGAGCAUAUGAGCACCGUCCCCUAUGCUUCAGCCAUAGGUUCUAUCAUGUAUGCAAUGCUGUGCACUAGACCGGACGUUAGCCUGGCCAUAAGUAUGGCAGGUAGGUUCCAGAGUAAUCCAGAAGUGGAUCACUGGACGGCGGUCAAGAAUAUCCUGAAGUACCUGAAAAGGACUAAGGAGAUGUUUCUCGUGUAUGGAGGUGACGAAGAGCUCGCCGUAAAAGGUUACGUCGAUGCAAGCUUUGACACAGAUCCGGACGACUCUAAGUCGCAAACCAGAUACAUAUUUAUUCUUAAUGGGGGUGCGGUAAGCUGGUGCAGUUCCAAGCAGAGCGUCGUAGCAGAUUCUACAUGUGAAGCGGAGUACAUGGAUGCCUCGGAGGCAGCUAAGGAGGGUGUCUGGAUGAAGCAGUUCAUGACGGAUCUUGGAGUGGUGCCAAGCGCACUGAAUCCAAUAACCUUGUUCUGUGACAACACGGGUGCCAUUGCCCUAGCAAAGGAACCACGGUUUCACAAGAAGUCCAGACACAUCAAACGACGCUUCAACCUCAUCCGCGACUACAUCGAAGGGGAGGACGUAAAUAUAUGCAAAGUGCACACGGAUCUGAAUGUAGCAGACCCGUUGACUAAACCUCUUCCACGGGCAAAGCAUGAUCAACACCAGAAUUGUAGGGGUGUUAGAUUUAUUACAAUGUAAUUCGCAUGAUGAUGUGCGGGCUAGAUUAUUGACUCUAGUGCAAGUGGGAGACUGUUGGAAUUAUGCCCUAGAGGCAAUAAUAAAUAUAGUUAUUAUUAUAAUUCAUGUAUCAAGAUAAUCAUUUAUUAUCCAUGCUAUAAUUGUAUUGAAUGAAGACUUAUAUACAUGUGUGGAUACAUAGACAAAACACUGUCCCUAGCAAGCCUCUAGUUGGCUAGCCAUUUGAUCAAAGAUAAUCAAUGUCUUCUGAUAAUGAACAAGGUGUUGUUGCUUGAUAACUGGAUCACGUCAUUAGGAGAAUCACAUGAUGGACUAGACCCAAACUAAUAGACGUAGCAUGUUGAUCGUGUCAUUUUGUUGCUACUGUUUUCUGCGUGUCAAGUAUUUGUUCCUAUGACCAUGAGAUCAUAUAACUCACUGACACCGGAGGAAUACUUUGUGUGUAUCAAACGUCGCAACGUAACUGGGUGACUGUAAAGAUGCUCUACAGGUAUCUCCGAAGGUGUUCGUUGAGUUAGUAUGGAUCGAGACUGGGAUUUGUCACUCCGUGUGACGGAGAGGUAUCUCGGGGCCCACUCGGUAAUACAACAUCACACACAAGCCUUGCAAGCAAUGUGACUUAGUGUAAGUUACGGGAUCUUGUAUUACGGUACGAGUAAAGAGACUUGCCGGUAAAAGAGAUUGAAAUAGGUAUGCGGAUACUGACGAUCGAAUCUAUGGCAAGUAGCAUACCGAAGGACAAAGGGAAUGACAUACGGGAUUAUAUGAAUCCUUGGCACUGAGGUUCAAACGAUAAGAUCUUCGUAGAAUAUGUAGGAUCCAAUAUGGGCAUCCAGGUCCCGCUAUUGGAUAUUGACCGAGGAGUCUCUCGGGUCAUGUCUACAUAGUUCUCGAACCCGCAGGGUCUGCACACUUAAGGUUCGACGUUGUUUUAUGCGUAUUUGAGUUAUAUGGUUGGUUACCGAAUGUUGUUCGGAGUCCCGGAUGAGAUCAUGGACGUCACGAGGGUUUCCGGAAUAGGUCCGGAAAUGAAGAUUGAUAUAUAGGAUGACCUCAUUUGAUUAUCGGAAGGUUUUCAGAGUUAUCGGGAAUGUACCGGGAAUGACGAAUGGGUUCCGGGUGUUCACCGGGGGGGGCAACCCACCCCGGGGAAGCCCAUAGGCCUUGGGGGUGGCGCACCAGCCCUUAGUGGGCUGGUGGGACAGCCCAAGAAAGCCCUAUGCGCCAUAGGAAGAAAAAUCAAAGAGAAAAAAAAGGAGGAGGUGGGAAAAGGGGGAAGGACUCCUCCUUCCAAACCUAGUUGGACUCGGUUGGAAGGGGAGGGUUGCCCCCUAGGCUCGGCCGACCCCCUUGGGAGUCCUUGGACCCAAAGGCAAGGCUCCCCCUCCUCCCCCUAUAUAUACGGAGGUUUUAGGGCUGAUUUGACACAACUUUGCCACGGCAGCCCGACCACAUAUCUCCACGGUUUUACCUCUAGAUCGCGUUUCUGCGGAGCUCGGGCGAAGCCCUGCUGAGACAAGAUCAUCACCAACCUCCGGAGCGUCGUCACGCUGCCGGAGAACUCUUCUACCUCUCCGCCUCUCUUGCUGGAUCAAGAAGGCCGAGAUCAUCGUCGAGCUAUACGUGUGCUGAACGUGGAGGUGCCGUCCGUUCGGCACUAGAUCGUGGGACUGAUCGCGGGACGGUUCGCGGGGCGGAUCGAGGGACGUGAGGACGUUCCACUACAUCAAACGCGUUCACUACCGCUUCUGCUGUACGGUCUAUAAGGGUACGUAGAUCAAACAUCCCCUCUCGUAGAUGGACAUCACCAUGAUAGGUCUUCGUGCGCGUAGGAAAUUUUUUGUUUCCCAUGCGAUGUUCCCCAACAUUCCUCACUCCUGUUUAUCUUAUAAAUUGUGUUCCCAGUAGGGUCAUCAACAACCAAACCCCUCUAGGGCAUCUCUUUGACACAAAACCAUAUUACCCUUUUCUUCGUAUUUUUGGGUGUGUUGUGUGGCCCAACAUCCCUACGAUAAGCAUAAGCUCAAAUUUUGCUCCAAAUAGUGUUUUCUUGGACUACAGUUCCAUGCACAAAGGUUACAAGUGUCUAGAUAUUGCAUAUGGCCGGGUCUAUAUCUCACGGGGUGUGGUAUUUGAUGAUCAUGUCUUUCCCUUCUCCAAACUCCACCCAAAUGUCGGCGCACAACUUCGCAAGGAACUCAUUCUCUUGCCAUCUCAUCUUCUGCCAUCUCCCACUUUUCUAUCACGGGGUGCUAAUACUACUGAUGAUCACAUGUCCUUGUUGUUGGAAAUAUGCCCUAGAGGCAAUUAUAAAAUAGUUAUUAUUAUAUUUCCUAAUCCAUGCUAUAAUUGUAUUGAAUGAAAGCAUAGAUACAUGUGUGGAUAUAUAGACAAAACAAUGUCCCUAGUAAGCCUCUAGUUGCCUAGCUAUUUGAUCAAGGAUGGUUAAGGUUUUCUGACCAUACGCAAGGUGUUGUCACUUGAUAACUCGAUCAGAUCAUUAGGAGAAUGAUGUGAUGGACAAGACCCAAACUAUGAACGUAGCAUGUGAUCGUGUCAUUUUGUUGCUAUUAUUUUCUGCGUGUCAAGUAUUCAUUCCUAUGACCAUGAGAUCAUGUAACUCACUGACACCGGAGGAAUACCUUGUGUGUAUCAAACAUCACAACAUUACUGGGUGACUAUAAAGGUGCUCUACAGGUAUCUCCGAAGGUGUCCGUUGAGUUAGCAUGGAUCAAGACUGGGAUUUGUCACUCCGUGUGACGGAGAGGUAUCUCGAGGCCCACUCGAUAAUACAACAUCACAUAUAAGCCUUGCAAGAAAUGUGACUCAAGUGUAAGUCACGAGAUCUUGUAUUACGGAACGAGUAAAGAGACUUUCCAGCAACAAGAUUGAAAUAGGUAUUGAGAUACCGACGAUCAAAUCUCGGGCAAGUAACAUACCGAAGGACAAACGAAAUGUUAUACGGGAUUAUAUGAAUCCUUGGCACAGAGGUUCAACCGAUAAGAUCUUCGUAGAAUAUGUAGGAUCCAAUAUGGACAUCCAGGUCCCGCCAUUGGAUAUUGACCAAGGAGUGUCUCGGGUCAUGUCUGCAGAGUUCUCGAACCCGCAGGGUCUGCACACUUAAGGUUCGAUGACGUUUUAGUAUAGUUGAGUUAUAUGUGUUGGUGACCGAAGGUUGUUCGGAGUCCCGGAUGAGAUCACGGACGUCACAAGGGUUUCUGGAAUGGUCUGGAAACAAAGAUUGAUAUAUAGGAUGGUUUCAUUUGGUCACCGGAAAGAUAUCGGGCAUUACCGACAGUGUACGGGAGUGAAGAAUGGGUUCCGAGUAUUCACCUUGAGGGGCCCACCCACCCGGGAGUGAGCCCAAUAGCACCAGGGUGGUGCACCAGCCCUUAGUGGGCUCGUGAGGCCAGCCCAAGUGGGCUAUGGCGCAACAAGAAGAAAAACCAAAGGAAAAAAAGGAAAGAGGGAGGUGAGAAGGAAGGAGUGGACUCCUCCUUCCCCAAACCGAAUUGGGGUGGGAGUCCACCUCCUCCUCUCGGUCGGCGCCCUUGGGGCUCCCUUGAGCCCCAAGGCUAUCCCCUCCCCUCCUCCUAUAUAUAUUGGUGGUUUUAGGGCUUUUGAGACAGAACUUUGCCACGUGCAACUCAAACCUAUACCUCGUAGUUCUUCCUCUAGAUCGGAUUUCUGCGGAGCUCGGGCGGAGCCCUGCAGGAAUAGAUCAUCACCAUCACCGGCGCGCCAUCAUGCUGCCGGAGAACUCAUCUACUUCCACGUCUCUCUUGCUGGAUCAAGAAGGCGGAGAUCGUCAUCGAGCUGUACGUGUGUUGAACGCGGAGGUGUUGUCCAUUCGGUGCUAGAUCGGGACGGAUCGUGGGAUGCCGGUGAUUGGAAUCACGAAGUUGUACCACUACAUCAACCGCGUUUCUUAACGCUUCCCGCUUAGCGAUCUAUAAUGGUAGUGGAUCCGAUCUCCCUCUCGUAGAUGAACAUCACCAUGAUAGGUCUCCGUGUACGUAGGAAAAUUUUUGUUUCUCAUGCAACAUUCCCCAACACUUGUCUCAUGGUAAUACCUUUGAUGACAGUUUUGUCUGCAGAUGCCACAGCAGCCACAGAUGAUCCGGGCUCCCCACCCCGGUGUACAUCCUGGCGCCCCCUCCUCAGGAUCGGGCUCGUAGGGCGUUGCACGCGCUCCAGGGCGAUCUCAUGCGGGGUCCGCUCUAGCCCCUGAUUCGCCCGUCCGACGCACCAGUGGGCCAGGCGCCACACACCACGUGCCUGCGUCGGGACCAAGCGGGUCCCCCGCAUGUGCCUCCAGUAGGCCUGCUCCCGUGCCUGUUCAUGACGGACCCAGAUCCUCGGCGGUCGUUGUCUCCCAUGGGCCAUCCGCGGAUGGUGAUUCGCAGGUGCGCGUCCCACCGACUGCGUGGCCCCUGUCCUCCACUUCACAGGCGCCAAGUGGCAGUUCUAAAUAUGGCGUGGAUCCAGAUGGUGCUUCUUCUGGAGAGGAGCUGUCUGGUGCAUUCUCAGCGGCUAAUUUUGGAUCGGCUGUGUCUUCCUCGUCCAACCGGCUACAUCAACAAAUCAAACAGCCAACACCGCCUCCUCCUGAGCAUGCACAAACACGUUCUCAAGGAGGUAUUAUUAAGCCAAAGAUUUAUAAAGUUGGAUGCAUUCAUUGGGGCUCUUUUUGUGCCACAGGUGAACGGAAGAAUUUGCAUGACGCUCUUCUGACACCCAAGUGGAAGCAAGCCAUGGAUGAAGAGUACAUGGCACUCAUGGCAAAUAAAACACGGCGUCUUGUUCCACCUGUCACAUGCAGAAAUAUAAUUGACUGCAAGUGGGUCUGUAAGGUUAACAGAAAGUCUGAUGGUACUAUUGACAUCUAUAAGGCACGCUUGGUGGCUAAAGGGUUCAAAGAGAGGUAUGGCAUUGACUAUGAGGGCACAUUUAGUCCGGUGGUCAAAGCUGCUACCAUCCGGUUAAUUCUUUUAGUUGCAGUUUCCAGAAAUUGGUGCAUGAGACAACUAGAUAUAAAGAACACGUUUUUGCAUGAUGUUCUGGAAGAGAAAGUGUUCAUGCGACAACCUCCUGGGUAUGAAAAUCCACCAAACUUGAUAAAGAACUUGAUAAAGAAUUGUCUGCAAACUUGAUAAAGAAUUGUACGGGUUGAAACAAGCACCUCGAGCUUGGUAUUCUCGGCUAUCCACCAAACUUCAAUCUCUUGGUUUUAUUCUUUCCAAGGGAGACACCUCGUUGUUCUUUUAUCAUAAUCAUGGCAUCAUUAUUUUUAUGCUCAUCUAUGUUAGUGAUAUAAUUGCUACAAGCUCUUCAUCCAAAGCAGUAGAAGCCAUCCUCAAAGAUCUAGGCAGGGAGUUUACUCUCAAGUAUCUUGGCCGCCUACAUUUCUUCCUUGCGAUUGAGGUGCAGAGUGUUCCAAAUGGAAUAUCAUGUCCCAAGAAAAAUAAGUGCAGGAAAUACUUCAGAGAAUGGGUAUGCAAGGGUGUAAGCAAUAUUCCACACCGUUGUACACUUCAGAGAAGUUGUCCCUUCAAGAAGAAGAGUCACAUGGGAUGGUGGACUCAACCAGGUAUCGUAGUAUUGUGGAUGCACUACCGUACUUGGCAUUAACUCGCCCAGACAUUGCAUAUUCAGUGAAUAAAGUAUGCUAGUUUGUACAUACUCCCACUAGAUCACAUUGGACAGGAGUGAAACAAAUUCUUAGAUACCUCCAAAGAACAAAGGGCCAUGGACUCGGACUUGGGAAAUCUGAUUCAAUGCUUGUAAAUGCGUUCUCUGAUGCAGAUUGGACAGGUUGUCCUGGUGGCAGAAGGUCUACAGGUGGUUUUGCAGUAUUUUUGGGAGGCAAUCUUGUUUCUUCGAGUGCACGCAAACAGCCCACUGUGCCUAGGUCCAGCACAGAAGCUGAGUAUAAGGCCUUAGCAAAUGCAACUGCUGAGAUAAUUUGGGUUCAUAAUUUGUUGACUGAGUUGGGUGUCUACCAUCCAAAAGCAGCAUCAGUUUGGUGUGAUAAUCUCGGCACUACAUAUCUAUCCGUUAACCCUAUUUUCCAUGCCAGGAAAAAGCGUAUUAAGAUAGACUAUCACUUUGUUCGCAAGCGAGUAGCUGAGAAGUGGUUGAAUAUCAGGUUCAUACUUACUGGUGAUCAAGUUGUAGAUGGCUUCACUAAGCCUCUUACGCUUCGUCAGCUAGAGUCAUUUAGACACAAUCUCAACUUAGAUUGUUGUGAUUGAGGGGGAAAGUUAAACAACAUGUAAUCUAUGGUGUUUGUAUAAAUUGUAUAUGUAAGGUUUAAGUUGCUAGGUUGUUGAUUGUUGAGAUAGAAUCCUUGUGAAUCAAUCCACCCAACCAACCAUAUGUAAAUCUUACAUGUAAUCUCGAUGGCUUCAUCCUAUAUAACACGCAAUGCAUCCCUGCAACAAGCAUACGCUUAACCUACGUUUUUCUACAUCUUUUGGUGACGAUGAGGACGGCACCUUCAUCACUUUAUUCCUCCAUGAAGUCCUCAUCCUGGGGUUUGUCUCUUCUUUGCCGCAAUGUCAAGUGAUUUUUAGGUGAAAACUCAUGCUCACUUCCAGCGGGCAACGCUGACACCGAUGUCACUACCUUCUUGAACGUGCCACCUUGGAAUCCUUUGACAUUGUGUGGAGGCAGAUCUGUGCUUGACAUUGUGUGGCGGCUGAUUUGUGGAAGUUGUGUUGGAACUUGUUGUGGUCGAUGACGGUGGAUGCUGGGGUGGCGGCUCCGGACAAUGGAUGGUCACUGAGGCGGUGGCCUCAAAUAGCGAUGCAACAACGACUCUCCGUGGUUUUGCAUGGCUUGGGUAGCGACCUCGUGCUGCAAGGGUAGCGAGUGCAUUGGCUCGGUCAAUGCAAUUAGAGGGGUCGGUCUGGAUGGUAUGUUAGGACGGCGACCCUGAACUUUUGGCACACCAUUAGUGGUCUGCAGAUGGCCUUGUCAUGUAGCAAGGGCUAUAUAUAGGGUGUUCGUGGCAUACGGCGUUGUUGCUCGCGUGUGAGCAGAGGUAGUCGGAGCAGCGGAUCUAGACCCAGGGGUGCAUUUUGGUGCGACUGCAGCCUUAUAUCGUGUGGACCAUAGGGCUUCGUUGCUUGUGCGGGAUUUGGCCUAUUUUUUCUUACAAACUGGGCUGCCAUGUUUGGUUUUCGAUCCAUUUUUUCUUAUAAACUCAAACAAUUUNNNNNNNNNNNNNNNNNNNNNNNUAUAUUCAGGUGAGGAGUCUUUCUCCCUCGAUGACCGAUUUAGAAAAAACUAUUGUGGAUACGUCAUCGAUCACAAUAAGGUAGAUGUUGCUACACAACUGCACAUUAAAGACACAAACUAAAUCACUUUGAACAAAUAAAUAGUUUGAUCACAUGACAACUGCUUGAACUCUGAAACUCGGUACGGUUUCUCUCUCCACAAGCUUCCAAUUUCAGCUUGCUGCGUGGAAACAAUGAUUCUACUUCGCUUCUUGUUGUCGGGAAAGUACUUCUUAAUGCAAUGCCACUCCACUAUUGUGGAUCGGUCAUCAAUUACAAUCAGGUAGCUAUUGCUACUCCCUCCGUUCCUAAAUAUAAGUCUUUAAAGAGGUUUCAUUAGUGAACUACAUACGGAUGUAUAUAGACAUAUUUUAGAGUGUAGAUUCACUCAUUUUGCUCCGUAUGUAGACUCCUAGUGAAAUAUCUUAAAAGACUUAUAUUUAGAAACGGAGGGAGUACAUAACACCGCAUUAAAUACACGGACUAAAUCACUUUGAUUCAUCGUCUCCAUCUUGACCAAAACAUUAGCCCCAACGCUUGUUGCUUGUGCUACCUUUCCAACUUCAUCAUGGGAAAUUUCAUAGAAUUACCUUGCCAAGCUAUGCAAGAGCUCUUGUGAAUUAAACGGAUGCAUCAACCUAAUCGAAGCAUGGAAUUCAAAUCUUUCAAGAACCAUUGGGUGAUCAUAAACUUCCUGGAUGGCAGACGUCUUCCCGAGAUCACAGCUAGUUCCCCACAUGGAGAUCACCCUAAGGUUCACAUCAUGGAGGCACAAGUGGCUCUAUCCGUGGAGAUAAUAUUUUGAUCGUUUGAGUUUGUUUUCAUGGCACACUUAAUGCAAGAAAUAUUUGGAUACACAUAUGAGUUGUGUAGAUCUUUGCAAAAGCAAGAUGAAGAUAUUGUUCAUGUUAUUGAGCUUGUUGGUGACACAAAGUAUUACUUGGAGGCUUUGAGGACCGAUGCUGGAGGGAUGAUUUUCUCACAAAGGUCACAUCUUUUUGUACAAAGCAUAAGAUCAAAGUUGUUGAUAUGGAGGGUCCUUACUUUCCCGUUGGCCGUCCUAGAAGGGGUUUACGUAAUGGUGUGAACAAUUUCCACCGUUUCAAGGUGAUAUGUUUGUGGGUGUCAUUGAUAGGCAAAUUUGUGAGCUGAAUGGCAGGUUUGAUGAGGUAAACACGGAGCUACUUUCUCGCAUGGAAGCAUUCUGUCCACUUCAUCUAUUUGUUGAUUAUGACUAAGAGAAGUUGAUUAGGCUGGCUACAAAGUUUUAUGCUUCCGAUUUUAUAAGUGAUGAACUGGCAAGACUUCCAUGGUAACUAAACAUGUAUGUUAUUAUUGAGCGUAGAGAUGAAAGGUUUCAAAACCUGAAAAAUCUGUGUGAGCUUCCAGUUAUGCUUGUUGAGACAAACAAGCAUGAACAAUAUCAUAUUGUUUACAAUAUUCUUAAUUUGGUAUUGAUUCUGCCAGUAGCUACUGCUACUGUUGAAAGAGUAUUCUCUUCAAUGAGCCAUGUGAAGAAUAAGCUAAGGAACAAAAUGGGUGAUCAAUAUUUGAACAACUGUUUGGUUACAUUUGUUGAGAGAGAAUUUUUCAAUCAAGUGAAGGAUGAAGAUGUCAUGAAUCUCUUCCAAAAAGGCGACCGCAGAGUUAUAUUGUAAUAAGGAUAUCAUCACUUUAUCAAUCAAAAGGUACUUAUGUAUUCAUGUCGUUAUGGUCUGAUACAUUGAAAUAUUUCUAUUGCCAUUAUGCUAGUGUUGUUUUGUUCAUAUAUUGCUAGUGUUAUCUUAUUUGGUUCAUAUACUACAUUUAGAGAAAAAAAGGAUGAAUACCCAGCCUUCAUUUCCUGGCGCCGCCACUGGACGCCGGUGAGGAUGGUGAUGGGGACGGGACGGAACCCUACACAUGUGCAAACUAAAAAGUUAAUUUGAGCUUAAAUUGUGCGUCUAAAUCAAAUAAACUCACACAUACACUCCUCCACUAAAACCUACAAACCACACUAUUUCUAAAGCAUUUGAAAUGAGCUAAACUAGCAGUGAGAGAUCAAAGGAUGAAGAUAGUUGGUGCACUGCCAAACCUAGACAAAUAAUGGGAAAAAUGGAGCUUGCAUGUCGAGCUUGGAGAAAGAACAGAGAAGAAAGCUUAAGCGUGUCUUAGGCAUUUCAUCGAAGACCUCAUGUGCACAGAAAAUGAGAACAGAGUACAGCUCACACCUCCCACCACCUACGGCCAAAAAACAGAGGAGGCCGCAUGGGCCGGACGUAUAUAUAGGAAUCUUUUAGUCCGAAUUGGUGUCUAGAACCGGGACUGAAGAAUGACCUUUAGUCCCGGCUGGAGACACAACCUCUUUAGUCCCGGUUGGUGUCUCCAACCGGGACUAAAUGUCUCAGCCAAACCGGGACUGAUGCCUACGAGGCCCGGCCGGCGUCUUCGCCACUCCAACUGGGACUGAUGCUCCCUAUAAUUAUAUGUGGGCCCCAGCCUGACGCCAGCCUGCAACCAUACCUUUGGUCCCGGUUUGUAUCACAAACCGGCAUUAUAGUUACAAAAUGAACCGGGACUAAAGAUGUCCGUGCCCCCGACCGCUCCUAGACGUUGGAACCGGGACUAAUGAUCACAUUAGUCCCGGGCCAAAAUUAAACCGGGACUAAUGAUCCAAACGUAAGGUCUGUUUCCUACUAGUGAUUUAUUUCUACGCUGGAAGCAGAUCUGCCUGUCUCUAGUAGUCUAGUCUCGCAACACCACUCGAACCAUGCCACAUCGAUCUAUUUGUCUUGGCGCUAAUGCUAAAGACCCCUGUUUCCUUGUAGUUGGAUCUCCCACUUUUUGAAAUGUUCUAAAUCCCAAUUGAGCAUCCGAAUGUGGAUCAAUACCAGCAAAAACAUAUNNNNNNNNNNNNNNNNNNNNNNNNNNNNNNNNNNNNNNNNNNNNNNNNNNNNNNNNNNNNNNNNNNNNNNNNNNNNNNNNNNNNNNNNNNNNNNNNNNNNNNNNNNNNNNNNNNNNNNNNNNNNNNNNNNAAGCUUACCACGUUGGUGUCGGCAACAGAUCGGCGCGGGCGACCGACGACGGUGAUGGAGAAGGGACGGCACCCUACACAUGUGCAAAUUAAGAAGUUAAGUUGAGCUUAAAUUGUGCAUCUAAAUCAAAUAAACUCACACAUACACUCCUCCACUAAAACCCACAAACCACACUAUUUCUAGAGCAUUUGAAAUGAGCUAAACUAGCAGUGAGAGAUGAAAGGAUGAAGAUGCUAACCUUUUUAGAGCACUUAGAUAGUGGGUGCACCGUGAAACCUAGAAAAAUCUUGAAAAAAAUGGAGUUUCGAGGUCGAACUUGGACAACGAAUAGAGGAGAAAGCUUAAGUGUGUCUCGGGCAUUUCAUUAAACAGCUCAUGUGCAAAGGAAGUGAGAACAAAGUUCAGCACACACCUCCCACCACCUACGGCCAAAAAACAAAGGAGGCCGCACGGGCCGCGUUGGGCGGUUGGUGUCUGGAACAGGCACUCAAGAGAAUGACCUUUAGCCCCGGUUGGAGACACAACCUCUUUAGUCCCGGUUGGUGUCUCCAACCGAGACUAAAGGUCUUAGCCAAACCGGGACUGAUGCCUAACGAGGUCCGGCCGGCGUACUGCCUGCUCGAACCGGGACUGAUGCUCCCAUUAAUCCCGGUUGAUAUAGUACGACUGAAACUGUUGCUUUUAUCUGGCCAGAACUAAAGCCGUGUUUUCUACUAGUGUUAUCUUCGUGCUAACUCUUAAUUUUCUCUCUUGCAACAAUAAUAACAGAAGACACCGAUUUAUUUUAUCAUGCAAGCAGCUCUGCCUGUCUAUAGUAGUCUAGUCUCGCAACACCGCUGGAAAAAUGCCGCAUCCAUCUAUCUGUCUUGCACCUGCUCCCUAGCACCACCGGUCACGACCCGUUCCCUUCUUCGACCCGUCCCCAUCGCCCCGAGAAGCCAUCGGUGUACUCAGCACGAUGCUCGACUUCGGAUGCCGCCUGCCUCCCACCACCCGUAGGCGCCUGCCUCGGUCUCUGUUGCUCUCCUGUGUCGCCGCCUUCCCGUGUCGCGGGCCUACGCCUCUUCUGCUUUCCUCUGUCGGCGGCGGGGCUUGGUGUCGACGGAGCUGGCGGGGUCCAAUGGAUCCAGCGAUCGGACGAGGUUGGCGAGCUCCGGCGAGGCGGCGGACGGUUUGAGCUCCUCAGGCGUCGUUGGCGCGUCGGUGUACUCCAGAUCGAACUAUGUACACUGCAGUGUAAUCCGUUCUUGUGUAAUACGCUCAUCUUUUUAAACGGAGUAGUUUUGUUUUGGAUCAGCAAGUGAUGAUGAAUAUUUCUGUAUAGUGAAAUUAUUUCCUUCGUUGUUGAUUCUUGGAACAGCAGUGCUCACGGAUAUCGUGGUUUUCCUCGUCAGUUCGUUUCCCUCUGGACAACUUUGAUAUUUUCUAUAAAAUCUGGGGUGUUUUGCCGUCUGAAGUUUCUGUUGAUGAGGGCAGAAAAUGGGGGUUUUGCAGUCCAGGACUACCAUGGGCUGACGGCAAAAAGGACUAACGUCGUUUGUCCGGCUGGACGUUCCGUCUGGUACCAAUUUUUUGUCGUCUACCGAUCCUGCCAACAGCAAAAUAAUUUCACUAACGGCAUUUUUUUGCCGUCUGCUCUCGCAUACGUUGACGGUAAAACUACCCUUUGCGGGCAUGGUGGACGUUGGCAUUAUUUG
RNAcentral lists this long non-coding RNA (59290 nucleotides) under Hordeum vulgare. RNAcentral describes it as "long non-coding RNA (HVUL_LNC021391)". The record is from RNAcentral. Lineage: Eukaryota; Viridiplantae; Streptophyta; Magnoliopsida; Poales; Poaceae.